Molecule: long non-coding RNA, 44265 nt
Filed under: Ananas comosus (pineapple)
Lineage: Eukaryota; Viridiplantae; Streptophyta; Magnoliopsida; Poales; Bromeliaceae
Description: long non-coding RNA (ACOM_LNC017116)
Source: RNAcentral
GAUUCUUACAUUUUAUAUUAUAUUAUAAAUUACUAUAUGAAAUAAUUUUAUAAAUAAUUUUAUAUAAAAUAUACUAAUAUAAAUUAAUUAUUUUAUUUUUAAAAAUAUAUUUGUUGUUCUAGACUUUUUAUCCAAACGCUAUUAAGGAUAUCCUCUAGAAUAUCCUCGAAUGCAUCCAAACACAAAUUUACAAUUGUUCUAUCUUGUACCGGAAUAUUCCCUGUUCUCGGGAACAACAAAAGUUGUUCUCCAAAAUUUAGUUCUCCAACCAAACGCAGCCUAACAGUAUAACAUUGCAACUAGUACUUUUUAUCAUUCAAUCGAACAAAGAGUAAAACCUAAUUAUAUUGUUCUAUUAUGCCCCGAGAGUGUAAAUUUGGAACGAAUCUAUGUCAACUUUCGCAAGAACCAAAGCCGGAACAACAUUAGAAAACUCAGUUGCGACCUAACUGUAUAACGUUUCAACAAGUAGUUUUUCUCAUUCUAUCGAACAAAGAGUAAAACCUUAUUAAAUUGUUCUAUUAUGCCCCGAGAGUGUAAAUUUGGAACAAAUCGAUGUCAACUUUCGCAAGAACCAAAACCGGAACAACAUUAGACAACUCAGUUUCGACCUAACAGUAUAACGUUGCAACAAGUAGUUUUUCUCAUUCUAUCGAACAAAGAGUAAAACCUAAUUAAAUUGUUCUAUUAUACCCCGAGAGUGUAANGAGUGCCCUGCGAGCGAGAGCGAGAGAAAGAGAAAGGGGAGAGCGCGAGAUGACGAGAGAGGAGACGAGAGAGGCGCGAGAUCAAGAGAGAGGCGAGGGAGCGAGCGGGACCGAGAGAGCGAGCGGGACCGAGAAGGAGGUGAAGGGGAGAGAGAGAGAAAGAGAUGUGUAGUAGGGUUUAGCUUUAGGAAGAAAAAAUAAAAGGGGAGUGAAGUUAGCUGCUACUGUGCUAGUGAUCUAAUAAUAGCCGUUGGAUCAUACGGGUGUAGGAUAUACACCUUUCUAUAGGAGUACAGGUAGACUUUUCCUUAAAAAAAUGAAACUAAAUAAAAAUAUUUUACUAAAUGCAAAUAAACCGAAUGAAACCAGCUUAAUUAUUUUGGUUUUUGGUUCAUGUCUCUAAUUCGAUUUAAUUCGGUUUUCUAAGAAACUAUAAAAAAAUCAAAUCAAAUCAAACCGAACCGACCAAUGCUCACCCAAAUGUUAUUUUAAAAUAGUACUGUUCGGAGAAGCAUUAUUUUAUCAAAAAAAAAUUAUAUAGAUAGCUCAGGAAAAUCUAUGGGAAAACUUCAAAAACCCCCCAUGUGGUUUCGUAGUUUCUCACUUUGCCCUCCUGUGAUUUAAAAUGUAUCAAUUUGUCCCCCUAUGGUUUCUUUUUUCUCUUUUUCUUAUCAAUUUCAUUAUUUUUUUUCUUAAAUCAGUGAUAAAGUUAAUUUAAAGGAUACUAAAGUGAAUAUUUGAUAAAUCCAGAUGGGUAUUUGAAGUUUUUUGUAUAUAAUUUAAUGAAAUAUUAACGAAAAAGUUAUCGAAAAGAUAAAAACAAUACCACAGGGGGGCAAUUUGAUACAUUUUAAACCACAGGGGGGCAAAGUAAAAAACUAUGAAACCACAUGGGUUUUUUUUUUGAAGUUUUCCCAAAAUCUAUUGCACAACAACAAAAUUCAUGAGCUUCAAUCUUACUUUUUUUUCCUCCAUAUUUUGUUCUUUAGUUAUGGAUUUUAAUAUUUAGGAACAUGAUUUACUGACUAACUGGUAUUUAAGCUUGGUGAAUUGAUUUAUGUAUUUUCUCUCUUUCGCAUUCAUAGGUUCGAAAACGGACUCCUCAUUUUCUCUUAUUUUGUUUUGAUUUUUUUUUUUCGCUUGAUCUUUUAUAUAUGAAAAUGUGUUUUAUUUUUCUUAUCAAAAUUAUUCAAUAUUGUAUUCAAGCUCUAAUUUUUCGAAAAACUUCAAAAAACUCCCAUGUGGUUUCGUAGUUUCUCACUUUGCCCCCCGUAGUUUAAAAUGUAUCAAAUUGCCCCCCUGUGGUUUCGUUUUUAUCUUUUCGAUAGCUUUUUCGUUAAUAUUUCAUUAAAUUAUAUACAAAAAACUUCAGAUAUCCAUCUAGAUUUAUUCAAAUAUUCACUUUAGUACCCUUUAAUUUUAACUUUAUCACUGAUUUAAGAAAAAAAAAUAAUAAAAUUGAUAAAAAAAAGAGAAAAAAGAAACCAUAAGGCUGCGUUUGGUUGGAGGGAUAUCCCAGAACAAGGCGGGAUAUCCCUCCAAACACAAUGCAUUUUGGAACAACCGGGUUGUUCCCGGAACAACCCGUUAAGCCGGGAACAACCCGGUAAGCUUGCCGGAACAAGAGAUUUGGGCUUUUUUUUUUCUUUUUUUUUUUUUUCUGGCCUUUUAAUUUUUUAUACUUUAUUUUAAUUAAUUUCAAAUAAAUUAAAUGAAUGCUCAAAUUUAAUAAAUAAAUAUAUUAAUAUAAAUAUUAUUUUUAUGAUAAUAUAUUUAUACUUAAAUUUUAUUAUAUAAUAUAAAUUAAUUAAAUUUGAUAUAUAUUUUAUUUUAUUAAGUUUUAUCAUUUAUAUAUUAAUAUUUAAUUAUUUUAUUUUAUAUUAAGUAUUAUAUACAUAAAAUCAUUUUAUCAUAUUAUAUAUAUAUAUAUAUAUAUAUAUAUAUAUAUAUAUAUAUAUAUAUAUUAAUUGUAUUGAAAUUUUAUACUUAAUUUUUAGGGUAAUAUAUUUAUACUUAAAUUUUAUUAUAUAAUAUAAAUUAAUUAAAUUUGAUAUAUUUUUUAUUUUAUUAAACUCUAUCAUUUAUACUUUAAUAUUUAAUUAUAUAUAUAUUUUUUAUUUGUAUUAAAAUUUAUACUAAUUAUUAAUUAAAAAUAUAGGGAUAUUGUUAGUAUUAUACUUUAUUCAUUAAUAUAUUAUGAAUAAAUUAUAGAAAAUAAAUUAUUACAUAAAAUAAAUUAUUAUAUAUAAUAAAAUAAUAUAUAUUAUUUUAAAUUAGAUUCUUACAUAAAAUAUUAUAUUAUAAAUUACUAUAUGAAAUAAUUUUAUAAAUAAUUUUAUAUAAAAUAUACUAAUAUAAAUUAAUUAUUUUAUUUUUAAAAAUAUAUUUAGACGUUGUUUUAGACUUUUUAUCCAAACGCUAUUAAGGAUAUCCUCUAGAAUAUCCUCGAAUGCAUCCAAACACAAAUUUACAAUUGUUCUAUCUUGUAUCGGAAUAUUCCCUGUUCUCGAGAACAACAAAAGUUGUUCUCCAAAAUUUAGUUCUCCAACCAAACGCAGCCUAAGGGAACAAAUUGAUACAUGUUGAAUCACAGGAGGGCGAAGUGAAAAGCUACGAAACCACAGGGGGUAUUUUGAAGUUUUUCCCUAAUUUUUGAAUAAACAACCCUCCUUUAAAAAAACAAAAAAAAAAAAAACUCGGUGCGCUUUGAUGUAAUGAAUGAGCACAUUAAUUUGCAAAGGUCACACAACCAAUCAAAAGCAGCCACGUAUAUACCAAACCAAUAACAAGACGCCACGUCACCCAAUCUCCUGUAAAAAAAAAGAAGCACAUUCCAAACACACUACGCACGCGUUGAACAAAAAAAUUUUGUGGGGACGACAAUCCUAUGGCGAGGCUUCCAUCCACCGUCCAUUACGCUUUGAAAUUCGUGCCACUCUAUUUGAUGGACGGUGGAUGAAAUGCUCUCACCGUGCGGAUCCUCCACACCAAAUUUUUGUUCCGCUGAACAAAAAAAAUUUUGUGGGGACGACAAUCCUAUGCCGAGGCUUCCAUCCGCCGUGCAUUACGCUUUGAAAUUCGUGCCGCUUUGUUUGAUGGACGGUGGAUGAAAUGCUCUCACCGUGCGGAUGAUCCCCACCAAUUUUUUGUUCCCUACGGAUUCCUCCUCUCACCUUCUCUCUCUCCCUCUCGCUCUCUCUUUCUCUCUCUAUAAAUAUAUAUCUCUCCCGCGCACUCUUUUUCCCGCCGCCAUUUGGACGGAAUCGAGCGUCGGAUGCAAUGGACCCGAAACCCCCGACGACGACGACGACGACGACGAAGCUCGCCUACUUCGACGACAUGCGCGCCCUCCGCUCCUCCGCCCUCCUCCUCGCCCUUCUCCAGGUUCCCUCCCUAACCCCCCCUCUCUCUCGAAACCCUAAACCCUAAUCAAACUCCUAGAUUGGGCUAAAACCCUAGCUGCUUUGUGCGAUCCAAGGUGGAUGAUGGGCGCCUCGCGGCGAUCCUCGACGCCACGAUCUUCCACCCCCAGGGCGGCGGCCAACCGGCCGAUACCGGAUUCAUCAUCGCGGCCGCCGCCGCCGACGACGACGAUGGUGGAGGAUGCGGCGCCAAGUUCGUUGUCGAGGAUGUUAGAUUGAAGGAGGGAGUGGUUAGUAACCUAAUCCCUAAUCUCUCUCGCAGUUCUUAAGCUACAUUUUCAUAUGUAUCCGUCCGAAGAUUUGGAAUUGUGGAUUUAUCCCUUGUAGGGUUUGCAUAGAAUGACGCAAAAAGUAACUAUAAAAAUAUUAGAAAUGGAAAAUGACGUUAGAUAUAUUUAAAGAAGAUAUUUAUUCAAGAGUUGAAUGGUCAUUUUAUUCAACUUUUGAGAGAUAUACUUGUGGAGUAAAAUUUGAAAAUAUUUGGCAAGUGCGUGCCAACCUUUGUAUGUUUUCCUAUUUUUGGUCUCCAAUAUAUAUAUAUUUUUGGAGGGUUUUUUUUUUUUUUAAUUUGAAAUUCAUAAAUUUAAAUUUUAAAUUAUUGUGAAUUAAAUUUUAAAAUUCACAACUAGAUUUUCAAUUCAAAUUUUGAUUUUAAAUUUAGUUUUAUUUAAAAUUUCAAAUUCAAAUUCAAAUUUUGUACCUAAUUUUAGAUUAAAAUUCAAAAUUUUAAUUUUGAAUUCAAAAUUCAAAAUGUGAAUUUGAAUUUAGAUUUUAACUUCAAAUUUAAAUUUAACAUUAAAAUUUAAUUCCAAAUUUAAAUUUAAAUUUGAAUUUCAGAUUUUAAUUUUAAUUUUAAAUUUACUCUUGAGUAUCACUGGACAUUCUAUUAAAACCUCCCUAACAGCUUCUAAGUAGAACCAAAAGCUUAUGUUUUUGGACCAAAAAGAGUCUUAUGUCAGCUUCUUGCUGUUGCAGAAGCUCCAGGUUUAUUUAUUUCAUUUGGAUUCCAUAGCAGCAAAAACAAACUUUCCCCACAAAGAGAUGUAAUUAGAUAUCUACAGGGCCCUUGUGCUAAAUUUGGGAGUAAUAUCGAACAUGAAAAUGAAACUCAUCAUGCUUUAGCUGAGUGAUUACUAUAGCUAGGAAUAGUGAAUUAUGCCUUUGACAAUAUGGCAAUUUAGUAGAACAUUAAUAUAUGAUUAGGAAAUCUUAUUGUCUCACGUGUUGAGAGUAUUAGUUAGAAGCUGACCUUUAUUUACUUGCACUAUGCAGUUGAUUCCUGAGUAUAACUGGACAUCAAGAUCUCAGAUCUGUGAUAAUUUUUGCUAUUUUGUUUAGGUUUUUCAUUAUGGGAAAUUUGAGGAUAGUGAAGAUGAAUGCCAAUCUAAACUCAGAGAGGGUCAGAAAGUUAGCUUGCACAUUGAUGCACAAAGGCGCGAAAUCAAUUCCAGGUAUAGAAUUCUCUGUAAGUAGCACACUUAAAAAAUCUAAUCUUUUAAUAUAUGGGUGUAUUAUUGGUAGAUAUGCUUCUUUUCUCCAAAGAGUUACCUACCCACUACAUAAAUUAAUCAUAGGUAACUUUGUAUAUUGCCGAAGUAACCUAUGGUAGAUUUACUUUUAACUACCACAUUUCCAUAUGCUGUCUGACCAUGAUCAUCUUGUAGCCUCGAGCUUAAUCCACUCUUACAUCCUCUUUUUUUUUUUUUUAAGGAAAAGAAAAAUGUAGUCAAUAAAGCGUCUAGUUCUAGAUUCCCUCUAAUGUGUUGUAUGAUCCUAAUUGUUGUCCACUUGAUAUGCGAAAUAUGGGGUGAAACUCUAUAAACAAAAGCAUCUAAAACAUUUUUGUUUUGAUUGAUGUUGAUUUGAAGCUGUAAUCCAUAACGAUAGGAUCUCAGCUUCAUUUCAAACCAUUCUAAUUGAGGCUUAGUUUUAAAGUGCCGACCUACAUUGCUGGGUCUAGCUUCUGAGGUCAAAGUUAAUACGCUUACGGAUCAUAUUUAUUGUUGCUCGUCAUUUUAUGAUCUUUCAUGCAGACAACGAUCUGCACUUUAUUCAUUAUCUUGAUUGAAGUCUAAACAUCACUUAGUAUAGAACAUUGCAAAAAUUGAGUUUUAGUUCUUUACUUUUCGUACAUUUUGGAUACUUUUUGAGAGACGCUUGAAAGUAAAACGGGUUAAUUGUACAAAUAGUCCGCAACCUUACUUGGUUUACUAUUUUGAUCACCAAACUUUUUUUUCUGAUUUUGUAAUCGAGUCUCUAACCUGUAGUAUUUGUUUCAAUUACAGCCCUGCAAAAAUGCAGUUAACAAUAAUGGAAAUUGCCACGUGGCAAGAUUUGAUGUUGACCAAAACUCAGAAAUUCUAAGGGACUCGCCGAAGCUGAGACUGUACCCUGUUUUCUUGAAUCUUUGAGAGCCAUAGCAGUGUUUUUCAGCUAGAAUGUGCCAAAAUAUUGUUCAGCUUUUUUAGAUUAUACUAAGAAAUUAUUUACAUCCUGAUAUUUUUAGGGCCGUUAGUCUCUAUGUAAUGCGAUGCAAUUAUGACAACUAGCCAUAGCUCUGGUGGCAUGAAAGAAGUACUAGCACUGUUACUUCCUUAUUUCUUUAUGACAAAAUAAUGAUCUGGCUCAUGAUAUUAUGAACUGAAAUUUCAGCUUAGGACUUUGUUUGAAUAAUUGAUGGGAAAGAGUUCUGUUAGAGAAAGAAGCCUCUGAUAACAUGGGGCCACAAUAUGCCAUGAAAUUCAUUGUAAAAUUGACAGUUCGUACUGUAAUCAAGUAUGUUAUAGUUCCUAUCUGUUGAAUUGAAAUGCCAGAGCUACUAAGAGCUGCUAAGGCUGUGUCAGUAUAUUCAAGUACUGCUUUUGUUGUGCGUGCCUUUAAUCUAGGCUAUGCGUUCUCUCUAAUAAAGGACUUCUUCCUGAAAGCAACUAGCACUGUCACAUUCGAUGGUUGGAGGGGGGAAGCUUGUUUAUUUUUGAACUUGUCUACUUGCAUAUGGUGUUUUCAACGAUUGUCUAUCUCUUUAUGCUGUAGGCUUCACUCCGCAGGCCAUUUGUUGGAUAUAUGCAUGCAAAAUGUCGGCUUGUCUCAUCUAGAACCUGGAAAAUGUUAUCAUUUUCCUGAUGGGUAUGACAUCAGGACCUUGACUUUGUCUUCUUAUACUUUGUUUUCUCAUCUAAUUUACACUGGUUGUUCACUGUAUGGAAGUUAUUCUAUUUCUAUGGAGGUAUUUGUAUGCCCUAACCAUCAAUCUAUUAGAAAGACUGUAUAGUAAUAUGUACAGAAUCGGAUGUGGGAAAACAGUAUGUUGUGAUUGUUGCAUGUAAAUUAAGUUGCUAAGUUGCAGCAAUUUAAGGCUGUUAUGAUUAUUAGGACUCACUAGAGCCUUUUCACAAGUCAAAUAUCCUAAUUUGACCGCAUUUUGAUCUUUUAUUCCUCACUAUGUUUGUCUGAUUUAUCUGUCAACAUUGUAGUUCUUCUCUAUAGAAAUUCUCAGAAGUCUGAUUAAGUAGAAUAAUGGUUUUUGUCUCUCUCAAACUGUUUACUUUUUACAUCACGUUAUUACAGUUUACCACCCACUUCCAGGUAUUUCAGUUCAAAAGAUAUAUUGUGACAUAAGCUAUGGUUGAUGCUUGAUGACUCUAUGAUGAUUGAUAGUUUUGUUUCAUAUCUUAAUUUUCUGUGACACUUUGUUUUUGUUAACUCAUUUUUCUGAUUCAUAAUCUCCUCUGUGCGUCUUGACCAUAUUUCUCUCUUAGACACAUAUUUUAGAUCUAAGCAGUUUUUAAAUAUCUGAUUUGGGACAAUUGGAUAAAACUUAUAAGACUUCGACUGUGGCAGACCCUUUGUGGAGUACAAAGGAGUAAUUCCGCCAGAUCAAUUACAAAACAAGCAACAUGAAUUGGAAAGAGAGGCUAAUUCAUUAAUUUCUAGGGGUGGAAAGGUCAGCCUUGAAAAUGCCAUAUUGUUACUCCUCACUUUUACUAGAUAUUUUGUAUCUAUGUCUCGUUAAACCAACUAACUGGUGGAGCAUAUAUUUGUAGGUAUCAGCUUCUAUAUUAUCAUACGAGGAGGCUGUCCAAUGGUGUGGUGGUUCUCUGCCUAGCUACAUUUCAAAGGUCGGUAUAAUAUUCAACUGAAGUAAACUAAACUUUGUUUUCUUCUGGUGAAAAUUUAGGGAGACCCACUCCACCAUAGCCCAUUUUGAAAUAGACCGCCAGAGUCUGUCAUAUUUCGAUAAAUUAUUUCAGUCAUUUUAAUUGAAGAUUUUGUUAAAAUUGAUGGCUUCAUUAGCUUAAUUGCAUUCAAAUUUAAAUCUGAACAAAAUAAACUCAAUCAGAUGCUAUUUCACUUGAUUCUUACACUAAAUAUGACAGAGUGACCAGUCUAAUUAACCAAAGCAAUUGGUCCGUUUAUUUAUUUAAGCAAAUUGGAUGGUUAGUUUCGUUAGACUUCAAAACAUCACUAACACUACUAUUAAGUCAAUUCUUCAUGAUAUAAAAAGGUGAGAAAAGGGAUGUAUGUCUAUAGCCUAUGUCCUCAGGGAAAUCCUUAAUGAAAUUAUGGAGCAUAGAAAGAUACUUUUGUAAAAGAUAUGGAGCUAAAUUAGGAAAGGAGUCAUCAACCUAUUAGUAAAGUGGAGUCAUAGUCUAUGAGAAUUAUCAAGUUAUUGAAACCUAACGGGCUGUAGGCAUACCUAUACAGACUGAUUGUCCUGCCUGUGGAUCCAUUGAAUGCCCAAAGUAUUGUGAUAUAACUAGUCACCCUAGGAAUCAUCGGGUGUUUGUCACAAGUCCUUUUCACAAGGCCACUUCUUAAAGUUGUGGAUCAGCAAUGAACUGUAGUAGGUGGUAAUGGAUGUUGGUAACCCCUUUUUCGAAUAAUUGUUAGAAUUACUAGCAACACCAAACAUGAAUCGUAUUCAGUUAGUUGCUACUCUUUUCGAAUUUAUUAAGCUUUUCUAUUGAUUCUUAUUUUUUUUGUCAUGUUUUAUGAAAUUAUUUUAGGAUAGCACUCCACGUAUUGUGAAGUUUGGUGACCACCGUGGAUGCCCUUGUGGAGGGACUCAUGUUGCUGAUAUUGCCGAUAUUAAAAACUUAAAGGUAAUUAUGAGUUGUUAAAGUAUUGCUAGCAAUGUCAGUAUAAGUAGUUUAAAAGGAAUGAGGUACAUUACAUUUUCUUAUAUUUAUUUAUUUUUCUCUCCUUGUCCAAGUUGUAGGAUGUGAUUGUUUCUCCAUUACCUACCAACUAAUUAUGCUUAACUCAUUCUUGAGCUGUAUUAGGUAGAAAGAUCCUUCGUAAGACAGAGUUAUCAAGUUUGAAGAGAAAAAAUUCUUCAAGAAUAGAAAUACUGGCUUGUUUUUUAUUUACUUGAAGAAUGGAUCUUGUUGAAUAUAAAUAUUAAAACGCGUCUGAUAGCUUACACUUUUGGAGAUAAAACGGCUAUGUCAAAUUACUUUAACAUGGUACCAGAGAAGAAUGUCCCGAUUUCCAAGUCUUGCCAGACUCCUUGCUUCAUUUAAAUUCUUUCCAAAUCUUUAAAAUCCAUGUCUUAAGCUUAUCAAAAAGUCUCAAGCCUAGAUAUUAGUGGGGGUGUUGAAUAUAAAUAUCAAAAACGUCAUUCUUUGACAGCUUAAGCUUUUGGAGAGUAAUGGGUGUUUCUUAUUUUUUAACAGAUGUAACCUAAUUAGAUACUACCAUCUUGGCUUGCAUCAUCAUUAAAAUUUCAGAAGAUCUAUACUUGUCUGACAUUGUGUCAAGUAAUUGGAGGAAUUAAUCAGCUUGAGAUUUGAGCUGCUGUGUAAAAUCAGAAGUGGCAUUCAAUGAUUAGGUCUGCAGUUAUAAUCUGUAAUUUUAUCCAUACCACUUUUGGUUGGUAACUAUAAUUGUUACACGACUGUGGAAGUUAAAAAACCUUUGAGGUCUGCCACAUUUAUAGUAAAUUAGCCUUAUUUUUGUAAUCAUUCAAUACCUAUUUUUAUUCAUAUAUAGCUAUUGUCAGUUUGUUAUUACCUGCUGCUUGUUGGGCUUUUAGUAGAGCUUCUUUCCUGUUUUGUAAGCUUCAUGUUCCACCUAGGUUAAGUUCAUCAGGAAAGGGAAGCCGCUCGAGGCAAUGGGAGCAUCAACUUCUCCCUUCUAUUUUUAUUCACUAGUCACUCGUGUAAUUCAGUUCUAGAACUAUGAACACGAUUAUUUGUGUGAACAUGAUAUUAUCUAGGAUUGAAGAUUGAAAGAUAGGAGUUUGAUAUUGAUUCUUGUAGUUCACUAGUCACUUGCAUAAGUCAGUUCUAGAACUAUGAACACAGUUAUUUGUGUGAACACGAUAUUAUCUAGGAUUGAAGAUUGAAAAAUAAAAGACUUCGAGUCUAUCUGUUUUUCUUUUUUUCUUUUCUCAAGGUCUCUCUGCUAUCUCCACACUAUCUUCUCUCUUCCCCUUUCCAAACUCUGCUCGUAAUCUCCAUCUUGUCGAUCCUUUAACUGUUCGCUUUUCGCUGGUGUAUUGUUGUUAAGAAGAGGGAUUCAUUGUUGAAGCCAUUUCCUCGUUAAUAUGUUCGAUUCAUCCUCAUUGUUUCCCAGCUUGAUAUUUCGCACAAGGCUUGUUAAUGCACGAGUCAUUUUGCACCAGUGCAAUCUUUUGUUUUCUAUUUGGAAGAAAUUCGAGUAAGGGCUCUGAUAAAAGACUACACUAGUAUAUGGUUUUCCUUUUAGGAAGAUCCUGUGAAAUUUCAUGGUGCUCAAGAAUGCUCUUCUUCUCGAUUUUGUCCUUAUUUUCUUAUUAUCUAUUCUACUACUAGAAGUUUGUAUCAACUCAUUAAUAUCUUUUAAACCUUUCUUUAACCUGUUAUAUUUCAGGUCACUCAAAUUCGGAUGAAGAAAGGCCUUACCAAAGUCUUUUAUAGUAUCAGCACUUGAAGAUUGCUGCCGAACUUCAUCCUUACGAAUUGCUACAACCAUCAACAGUAAGUUUUACAGUUUUUCAAUUAUAAUUUCAUCUCAUUGUGGCAUUACACUCCUCUUGAAUAAUUUAUUGUAUAUGUACAAAAAAGUUUUAUGGUCACGAUGUUAAAGGGUUUGAAUUGACGAUUAAUAUCUCAUGUAUGUCUUUGUCUAUGUUGCGAUAAUCAAUAAAAAGCUUCAUGAACUUAUUUAUAAUUGAUAGCUAUAUUUUAGAUUUUCCGAAACUAGUUUUUUUUAAUCUUUUGAACUCAUUUAAGUAUCUUCGGUGGUGUGCUCCUUCAGUUGACCCGUUCGUCAGUGUCGAAAGAAGCUAACCUGUGAUUCGAUGCUGUUAAUGAUGUUUUUAAACUAUAAUAAUAAUACAAUAAUAAAAUCUUUUAUGGUGGUUCAUGAUAUAAACACCAUUGCACUUUCUCUCUAGGGUAGGGUUACACUUAGAUAGGUCAACAUUUGUCUUUAAAGCAUUUUAAAAACUAGGAACAUUCCAAUGUCUAGCUGUGAUGGUAACAUGGUGAAAAUUGUAACAGCAUGGCCCAGUUCCUCUGCUGUUAAAGAUGCAUUAUUUAUACUCACAAACUUCGUAGUUCUGUUUCUUCAUAUUGUCAAUAUCCUUGGUUUUACAUCGGUUUGUUUGGCGGUCUUGUUUUUGCUGUGUUUCUAUUAUUAAGUGAAUAUGAGCUCCUGAUAAACUUUGCGAAGUCAACCAUGGAGCACCCAUCGGGUGAUUUUGAUGGAUCGAUUUGAAAAAAGUCCCGCCAUCUUGGACUGACGAUCACACGAGAAAAAACAACAAAUUCUAUCAUCAUUAUCGAGGUUGCUAAUUUUGUAUUGCAAGAGAUUCUUGUAUGUUGGAAGAAAUUUCUCCAUCACUGCUUCAACGGGAAGUUAAAAGGAAAUGCACAGACACUUUCAUGGAGUCAUGACAGUAACUUUUUGGCUUAUCCACCGGCUAAGAACACGGUUGCAUGCAUGUUGUGAAUGUGUGGGUGCAGUUAGAAGCGCAAUUUGGUUGAGUGAGUACUUUCUCCUCAACGAGUUUUCAUUAAGACAGUUUGGUAAGCCGUACGAUUCAUUUCGUUUGUGAUUCGGCACCGUUUGGUAAUGGAAUUAGCUGGAGGAUUAGCUCUUAUCCUCCAGCUAAUCCCCAAACAAGUUUCAAGGUGGUGGGAACAACAGUUCCCACCACCAUCGGGAUAAGGGAAGGGGGUGGGGAACAACUGUUCCCACCCCCCCUUGUGUCAUAUGUGUUCUGUGAGUGAAAAUUUUUCAAAUUACCCUCCUUAUCCCCUUCUCCCCAUUUUCGAAGCAAGGAAAGAUCCCUCUCUCUCUUGGUCACAGAGCUCCUGCGGCUGGUUCCUCUCCUUCCACCUCACCGAGCACCGCUUGUUGUUCCCACCUCACCUCUCUCUCCACCUCACCUCACCACUUGUUGUUUCCUCUCUCUCCAUCUCACCUCACCGAGCUCCCUCUCCCCUGCACCGGGUUCUUCUCUCUGCACCUCUCCAUCCCGUGAGUCCGCUCCCUCCCUUCACCUCCGGCCGACGGAGCCUGUGGUUUCCGCGAAGCUUGUGGGUUUGCGAAACCCUUGUCGCGAGAUCACUUGUUGCGGAUAUUGAUUUAUUUAUUAUUGUAUCAGUUACAAAAUAUUCGGUACAAAAUAAUCGUAUUAUUUUACGUACAUAUGAAUAGAAAAAGAAUAUAACUUAGGAAUCCUACAACUCACCCUUUUCUUUUUCUCAGUAGGGGUAAUUAGGUAAUUUUAACAUUUCACUAACCCAUUAUCCUCUUAUUCCCAAAUACUAUCCAAACACUUUUUUCCUUAUCCCUCCUUAUACCUAUCCUAAUAUCUAUUUUCAUCCAAACACAAAAUUACUUUUAUCCGCAUACUUGUACCUAUCCCUAGAACAGCUAGUUCUUGCUUAUCUCCGAACCAAACGGUACAUUAAAGAACCGUUUCAAUCUUAUGAAGGUUUUCUAUCUAAACUUCAAGGCCAUAUUGAAUGGCGGAUUUAGAAAGCUCAAUAAGGUUGAAUGGGAAGCCUCUCAUUCAAGUUUUUUCCUGCAGUUACGCGCUUCGUCGAAACCAUUCAAUGACUUCAAUGGCACUUUGCCAACAUUAGCCACAGCUAUCUGUCUUACUUACGGGGAAAAGGUUUUAUCCUCCAUGCUUCAUUUCCGCAUGAAUCAUUCAUUUUGGGCGAAGCAACUAGAACUAUGGAAGCAUUCUUCCCCACGAUUCGAACAUCACCUUCAAUUUCGCAGAGAUUUGAUCUUACCAUUAGAAACAUUGUGCAUCUAUUUUCUCUCGGGCUUCAGAUCUUCUCGUUUCUCAUUUUCAAAUAAGAGAGAGGGAGAGGGAGAGAGAGUUGUAGCAUGUUCCCGGACAAAAAUCUCUCCUUUUAAAACUGAAACAAAUACUGCAUGCCAAGUGAUUAUCAACCAUUUUCGGGAAGUACAGAGCACAGCCACUACUGUGCAAAGCUAAAAUGUGCAGUUCAAGUGCUUCUAAAAAAGUGGCAGGUGCUUCACGAGUGCGUUUACAUCCACUGGAUAAGUUGAGAAAGUGAAAAAAAGAGAGAGAACAAGAAAUGUUGGUUGAAAAGUUGUGACGAUAAUGUCGAGCCCUCAAGCUGCCGGAGCCUCCGCCAUUUCCUGCUCGACAGGGGUAGUUUGAACAGGGUAAUACUUGUAGUGCAGCUCACCGACAUCGUCUCCCGACAGCUUCUUCCACCCAUCAGGUCCAACAUGAUAAACUACAAACAAACAAAAAAAAAAAAAAAAAGGAAAGUAAAAAAGGAUUAGAGCAAUCAAUUUACCAUUUGUGAGAAGAGAUGGGGUUAGAAAUUUGGUCGCAAAAUUUGACCCGAAUUCUAAUUUCAUCCUGAUAGUUUAAGAAGUUGUAAUUAUUGAGUCCCAAAAUCUGCUCUGCACAACAAACGAAAUCCUUGCUUUAAUCUACAGUCUGAAAAAGUGCCUAGGUAGCACAACAAUUAGGUUUCUUUGUAAAAUUGAAACUCUGAGAAAGAAAUCAAAGCCAAGUUCAAACUUGCUGAACGAAACGAAAUUGAAAUCAAGCUCAAACUUUGGAUUGGAACUUCAAGGAUGAAAUUUCAAACUGAGGCCCAACCAUCUUAGGGUCCAAAUUGUUGCAAUUCAAAUUCUGAGCAGAAAAUUGAAACAGUGGUCAAACUUCAGGAUGUUAUUUCUUCACGGAGUAAUUAGCAAGUAGCCCUAAACAUGAAAACUAGUAUAUAUAAUACAUGGAUCACAUACAAAUGAGCAGAGGACCAAGUCAAAUAGUCUAGAUCGAGUACAACAACAUGUAUGCCCAAGACGGAUGUUAUAUAAGUGAUUUUAGCGAGUAGAAAGGUAUCCAAGUGCACAUGCCUUUACAGUUAUUCUAGCUUAACUGUAUAUAGAAAUAAUGGAUGAGCGAUAGAAAAGCACAUACCACUAACAACACCACCACUUGCUCCAUCACGGAAUGUGGCGUGAUAAAUAGCCCUACGUGCCAGCUCAGCAGCUUCCUCGACUGACAUGUCGAAGCGGUAGCUGAUAAAGUAACACACCGUAGGUAAGUCGAGGAACAUUCGAUCGUAUAUAAAACAAGGGUGAGAAAGUCAGUAAAAAUUCAACUUCCUACCCAUUAUCCAGGACACCGUAAGCAUAUGGCGAUCCAGACCCUACAGAAAACCUGUUCCCCUUGAGCCUCCCUCCUUCGCUGUCCACGUAAUAUAAUCCAGGUCCCUGAGAAAGUAAGAAAAAAUAAAGAGGUUUUAUUAGCCACACAACUUUGGAAAGAAAACAAAAAAAUUGGGUUAAUUACAAAAUUGGCCCUGAAGUUUGGUCCAUCAUUUCAAUCAUUCUUUUUUAGUAGUAUCUUUUUAGUCUCUGAAAUUUGUUCUAUGUCAAAACUAAUUCUUCUGCUAGUCUCUGCCUUCUAGAAAAGCACCGUCUUUACAUCACUGUUAAAAUUGAAUCAUUGUUAAAAUUGAAGCGACAAAAUACUGCUAUGUUAGCAUACUCUCAUCGAUGCUGAUGUGGAGUCCUUUUAUUCCUGAGGUGGACGAAUGUCGCUAAGGACAAGACUAAUUAAUACGCAAGGGAAACUUAGGAGACAAAAUUGUUAAAAACUUUUUAGGACAUAAUUGAAGCUGGGGUCAAACUUCAAGGACUAAAUUUCUAAGUAAUCCAAAAGGCUCUGUAGAAAUGUAAGACUUCACCUGAACAGUAGCACAUUUUGAUAUUGCUACAUGAACUUUAAAAAGUUUGAUUUUACCACCUCACAUUUCGUUCGUUUUGAUUUUUGAAAAUUUCUUCCGAAAAAGAACUUGUCAAACUCCAUCAGAAUUUAAGGGAUGUUAUUAAAAAAUUGUGUGGAAUAUUUUAUCAAAUAGCAGAAUAUUAAUUUAGAUUACAGAAUAUCCGGUUAAAAAAGUAAAAAAUACUGUUAAAUUCUGAUUUGACACGCUAAACACGUCAUAAGAUUAAGCAGUAAAAUAAAAAAAAAAUUUUGAAGUUCAUAUGCCUGUUUUGAAAUGCAGCAUAGUUCAGAUAAAGAUCUAUUCAUUUAUAUAGAAGUUUUCUAUUCAAGUCAACAAGCACCUUUUCAUCCCAUCCAGCAAUCAUGGUACCAAUUGAGAGGCCCAUCCCUCGAUAUGAAAAGAGAAUAUUUGCCAACAGCUUUGAAGCGCCUGUAACCGAGAUCCUUCGCUUGUUCGCCAGUUCAUGUAGACGGCACUAUAAAAGAGGGAGAAGUCAUAGAAGAUCACGAAAAUUAUGCAGAAUCAUUUUAUUAGAGUUCGCAAAAGCACACAGAAGUAAUAGCACAUCCCCAUAAAGUAUCCUUUUUUAUAAGCAAAUGUAACCUUGAUUCCCAAGUUCCGAUGCCAAAAUUGGCAAUCAGCAGCUCCUCCAGCCAUUGUUCCAAGCAUGUAAGGAUUGAUCUCAAUGAUUUUCUUCACGCUUUGAGAGGCUGGGUUCAAAGAGGAGCGAGAAUGAGAAUGAGAGCCAAUAAUGUUACGAUCAGGUGCAAACAAAAAUUCUUCUGUUGUUCAAGUUGAAAUGUUUGGUCCACAAAGCAAAUCACCUUUUCUCUUGAGGAAGGUCAGAAGCUACUGCUCUAAACUGUUCUUAAUUCAGGAACAAAUCAUGACAAACCUUAACACAGUAAGAGAAAUGACAAAGUUGGGAAGGGACUAUUUCAACACUCCCAUUGUUUGCGGUGGUUUCUCCGUACAAUUUUGAUCUGUUAAAGGAUGCGGCAUUAAAACCCUAGUAGGAGAGGGCGAGAGCUUACAUAUGUAUCCUCCCAUGCUAGCCCUAGAAUCCGCGGCGACGAUGACGCCCUCCUUGAAGAUGAAGGCGAGCGUCGUCGUCCCCUUCGCGUGCUUCAGCGUCUCCUUCGCGUUCUUCUGAAACCCAUCGAACUGCUCCCAAGCAAAACCCCCCAAGAAUCGGCAAGAAAACGAAUUAGGGCAAAGAUCGGAGGGAGGAAACCCUAGAGAGGUGGAGGAAGUAAGGAGAGGAGGAUCGGAUUCGACUCACGUCGUCGCAGGAUGGGAGAUCGAAGGAGGGGGCGGCGGGGAAUACGCCGUCGCCGCCGAUGGAGGGGAUCAGCGCCGCGGAAGAGUCGAGCGCGGUGGUGUCGAGCUUCAUCUUCGUUGUAACCAGCGCGUCAAUGGCGAGUGUCAAUGGCGAGAGCGAGAGAGAGAGAGAGAGAGAGAGAGAGAGAGAGAGGGGUCGAGUAUGCUAUAAAGAGGAAGAGGGAGGAGGCUUGGAAGAAAACAAAUGGAAGUAGAGGCCAGUAGGCCCACAUUUUUUGAGCCAUUUCGGGUCAAGGGUCGGCCCGACCCGACCCGGUUGCUAAUCCAGGCCAGGUCGUACCGGCCCGUUUACGAAGAGCAGUAGGCCCGGUCUAUCCUCUGGCCCGCACUGCACGGGCCGGGCCGGGCCGGGCCAGAAAAUCUUCACCUGGUUUUUUUUUUUUAGAUUUUUUUUUUCAGAAAAAGAGAUAAUUUUUUUAAAUUAUAAAUUUGGACUUAUAGCUUUUACUUUACACAAUUAUACCAAACUUUUUGACAACUCUUUUAUUAAAUAUUUUUAAUAAUUUUUUAUUAUUUGAAGAGAAAUUGAUAUUUUAAAAAAUAAUUACAAAAAAAAUAUAAAGUUUGUAUUAAUCAUAUUACAUAAAAUUUGUAUUUUUUUAAAAAAAAAGAGUUUAAAUUAUAACAUUUUGACUUAUAGUUUUUAAUUUACACAAUAAUAUCCAACAUUUAUAAAUUUUUUUCAAAAAAUUUAUAAAUUUAAAAAAAUCACAAUAAUUGUGGAGAGACUUUGUAAAAAAAAAUUGUUGAAAAAUAUUAAAAAUAUUUGCAAAGUAAACUUGAGAAGUGAGGGAAAAGAAAAUUUAGAUUGAAAGUUAGAGAGUGGGUGUAACGACCCAGCCCACUAGCAAUAAUAACUCGUUGGGCCCAACCACAACCCAAAAUGCUUAAGCCCAGUUAUUAUUACUAGUGUCUAAGUCUCUUAUAAACCCAAUGACAACCCCAUUCCCAUCCGAUAUGGGAUUAUUGGGGUGUCACAGUGGGAGGAAGUAGGGUUUGUGGAAGAAAAUGAAUGAAGAUGAGCUAAUCUCCUAUACUAUCUAUAGUACCGGAGCUCCGGUACUAUGGUCUUAUUUUCGAUCUUAAGGUGUUCAAAUCAACGAUCCACACCGUUAAAACUAAUUUACGGUAUUUAAAGUUUUUAGAAAUAAAAUUUUAUAUUUUUUCGACAUAGUUACUUUAUGAUCAAACCAUUUCAAAAUUGUUAAUUUUCAACGGCUACUAUGACGAGUUUGGAGUUUAACGGUGUAGAAGAAUCUAAAUUUCUUCAAAUUUUGAUAGAAAAUACUUUAAACUAUCUAUAUUAAGGUUAACAUUUUUUAUCUUGAACUUAAAAGUCCUAUUCUCAAAUUUUAAAGAUUAUUCAAUUUCCACCGUCCAUUUUGACAUAAUUUACUUACUAAGUAAACGAUGUCGAAAAAAAUUAAAAUUUUAUUCCUAAGAAUUUUAUAUACCCUAGAUCAGUUUUAACGGUGCGGAUCGCUAAUUUGGAUACCUUAAGAUCAAAAACAAGACUAUAGUAUCAGAGCUCUGAUACUAUAGAUAGUAUUGUAGCCUAAUUCGAAUGAAAAACUAUUUGUCGUGAUGAAUUUGAAUAUUUGUAGUGGUAUUUUAUAGAUAUAAAAAAUAUUUGUUAAAAAAUAUAACAAUAUUUUUUUGACUAAAAUGCCCUCUCUAACGGUCAAAUUUUUUAAUGAUAGUAAGGGCAUUGUGGUCAUUUUAAUAAAAAAAAUAUCUUUUUUUAUUUUUUAAACCCAUUUUUUUAAAAAUAAUAAUAAUAAAAUAUUUUUUUAGAAAAAAAAAAAAUUCAAAACCCAACCCAACGGCUAUUAAGCCGUUGGGCCCACUGUCCAAUAAAAGGUGAGCCCUAAAGGCUAGGCCUAUAAAAGGCUAGCCUUUUUUAGGCCUGGCUUAACUUUGGACUCAAAAGUUAGCAGGCCGUACCGGCCUGCAGGCCGACCCUUCGGCCCGGUACGGGCCAAGCCCGACACCGGCUGUGCCGUGCCAGGCCGACGGGCUGCAAAAGUUCAGCCCAGUACGGCCCGUAGAGCCGGACCGGGGGGAUUCGGGGCGGAUUUUUAAAAACCAGAGUCCGAACCUGAACCCGAACCUGACGGAUUUUAUUUUAUAUAUAUAUAUAUAUAUAUAUAUAUCAUAUAUAUAUAUAUAUUAUAUAUAUAUAUAAUAAUUAAUAUGGGCUACUAUACUAUUCAAUAAGUACCAAGCCUUGAUACUAUUGAGUUUUUGCCGUUGGAUUAAAGGAUGUGCAGGUUAGGAUGAUAGUGGUCCUGGUUAAAUGAGAGUGGUCCCUAGGUGAGUGGUGUAGGUUGGUUUAAUAGUAUAAUCUAACGGGUGGAAAUGAUCACAAAGGUAGAUCUAACGGUAGAAAACUCAUAGUUCAGGCGCUGGUACUAUCAUAGUUAUGUAGGCCGGACUAUAUAUAUAAUCAUAAUAUAACAUUACAUAUGUAUACAUAUGUAUUAUGUAUACAUAUGUAUACAAUGAUAUAUGAUAUAUAUAUAUAUUAUACUAAUAUAUAUAUAUAUAUAUAUAUAUAUAUAUAUAUAUAUAUAUAUAUAUAAUACAAAAUAAAUUCGAGUUCCGGUCGGGUUAGGAUCGGGUUCGGUUCGGGUCGGGUAUAAUCAAAAUUCAUAUCCGAAUCCAUAUUCGUCGGAUUUUUAGUUUUUAUAUACAUAUCUGAAUCCAUAUCCAUAUCCAUCGGAUAUAUUCGUUUCAUUUGGGUUCGGGUUCGGAUAAAAUUUCGGAUAUCCAUACCCAUUGACAUCCCUACCGAGGGGGUCAUUUUGCACAGAACUCCACUUGGACUUUUUAGUUCUUCAAAUUAGUACUUUCCCAUGAGAACAUUAAAAAAAGGGAAAACAUCAAAUACUACCCCUAUAGUUUUGCACUUUAUCACUUUAGUAUCUUAUGCUUUAAAAUGUAUCAUUUUAGUAAGUGUGGUUUUAUUUUUCUCUUUUUGUUAUACUCUUUACUAUUUUUUUUUUAUUAAAUUAGUGAAAACGUUAAAAGUAAAGAGUACGAAAGUGAAUAUUCUGUAAACUAUAGAUGGGGUAUUUAAAACUUUUGUAUAUAAGUUAACGAAAAGUUAAUAGAAGGGCUAAUAAAAAGAGAAAAAGGAAACCACAGGUGUUGGCUUAAAUGGGCCAGCAUCCUGCCCUGUGGUGGGAGGUCAUGUGGGCCGAGUCAUGUUCAAAAUAACGUGAGGCUGGGUUGGGCCGAGUCAUGUUCGAAGUGGCGUGAGGCCAGAUGGGCCGAGUCACAAUCGAGACCCGUGGGCGCUGUUUCUGUACACUUUAAGUGAAUUAGUUGCAUAUUUCUAACAGCUCGAGCUUUUGGGAUUAAUGGUUAGCGCCAACGAUCCGACAAGUGGUAUCAGAGCCAAAGGUCACGGAUUCGAUUCCUGCAUGUUGCAAAUAUGUGCAGGUGCUUGAGGGGAGAUUAUUGGCUUAAAUGGGCCAGCAUCCUGCCCUGUGGUGGGAGGCCAUGUGGGCCGAGUCAUGUUCGAAAUGGCGUGAGGCUAGGUUGGGCCGAGUCAUGUUCGAAGUGGCAUGAGGCCAGGUGGGCCGAGUCACAAUCGAGACCCGUGGGCGCUGUUUCUGUACGCUUUAAGUGAAUUGGUUGCAUAUUUCUAACAAUUAUUUGAAGUUUACCCUUAAAAAAUAGUGAAGGGGAAUGUGAUAAAAAUACUACGUGGACACUUCUAUUUGCAGUGUAAAUCGCCGUAAAAUUAUAUUUAGUUAGAAAUAUGAAUAUGAAGCAAUUAAACUUUGAAUUUGAAUUUCGAGUAUUAACCAUUCAGCCUUUAGCCAAUUGUGCUAUAUACGGUUUUAAAAUUUAGAUUUUAAAAAUUUAUUUUAAAUUAGAAUUAAAAUUUACCAAUAGAAAAAUACUACCUACAUACCUAUAGAUUAACAAAAAUCUUACACCCAAUGCACUAAAAGGUUCACAAAAUUUUUUAAAUUUUUAAUAAAAAACUAGAGUGAGAGGACGAGUAAAAUAAUGAAAACUCUUAGAUGUGUAGAAGGGUUUUUUAGUGUAAUAGUCUUUUCCUAAACAUUUAUUCUAAAAAUAAGUUUAUUAAAUUUUUAUUUAUAAAUAUAGUCUUAUAAAAGCGGUGAAUGAUUCACCGCUUUUAAAAGCGGUGAAUCAUUCACCGCUUUCUUUAUUUUUUUCAUUUUUUUCUAUAUUUUUAUAAUGAUAAAAGCGGUGAAUGGUUUACCGCUUUUAUUUUUUUUCUACUCCUAAUGAGAAGUUAUAAAUGCGGUGAAUCAUUCACCGCAUUUAUAGGACUAUUUUUAUAAUUAUUUUUUUAACAAAAUUAUUUUUAUAAUUAUAAAAAUUAAUAAGAUUAUUUAUAAAAAAAAUUCUGUGUAGAAUGUAAAAUAUACGCCCAGUGUAGGGUGUGCACGUAGCAUCACCUUUUCUUUUUUUUUUUUUUCAUGUUGCUUGGAUUAGACUAAAACAAGAUAAUUUUUCAGAAUGGAUAAAGUAAUAAUUUCUAUUUAAAAAAAUAAAAUUCUCAUGGGCUUUAGAAUGAGUUGGGAGGGUUAACUGGGAAUUUAGUUUACUUCUUCGCGAUUCACUCAAAGGUGCUAACUACUUUUUAGCUAACAAGAAAAUAUAAAUUCGGUUAAUAAUCAACAAUUAAUAGCUUGAUAAUAGAACAAGCUAAUUUUUAACAAAUAUCAAACUCAAUUGACAUAGUAACCCAAAUCAAAGGUAUUAAAGGAAAUGGAUUAAAAACAUGAAGUUCGAAACCAACUUCGAAAUAGUCUAUAGUUGAGGGGGUCUACAUUAAAUUUUUCAUAAACAUACUAACAUUUUCACAUUUUUACAUACACUUUCAGAGUGUAAAUUUACUUUUUUGUAGCAGAUGGAUUGAGUUUUACAAAAUGAAUAAUAGUCUCUUAACUGAAGAGGAAUUAUAAGAUGCUGCGAUUUAUGAUUGAAUCAUAGGAUCAGUGUUUGCAUCAGAUGUUUGAACACUUUCCCUGGCCUUUCUCACCUAAAACAGAGAAGAAACAAAAUCAGAAAUAAAUCAUUUCGAAUUCAAAUAAGCAAUGCAUUAUUAGAACAACUGAAUUAAACAAAAACAGAUUUUGUACUAGAUUUUGCAGUACAACAAUUAAUAAUAUAGAGUCUUAAGUGACACUGCUAAUAGAAAUUUCCCUUUUUGCAUGAGAUACUGCGGUCGAAUAUUUACAGUAAAUCUUGUUUAUCAUAUGCGAGCUCCGAAGCAGUGGCGGAUACAUUUUGGUUCGGUUUGGUUUUGACGGAAAGCUGAAUCAAAGCAUGUCGUAAAUUUUUAUAAGAAAGCUCCAAAUGGAUUUGGUUCAGUUCAAAUCUGAUUUUUAGUAGGAAAAUCAAACCAAAAUGACUAGGAUUUCCAUUAUUCUAAUUUAGAAUCAAACUAAUUUCACGUAAAACUAACCAAAUUGAACCUGAAAUCGUUGUUCCAGUUCGGUUUCUUAGUUUGUUAUUUUUUCCUGAAUCAUAUCCCACCAAGAAGCAGCUGUUGGAUAUGUGCAGCUUUAAGAAACUUGAAUGAUCUUCAGGGCUGAAAAGCAAAAGCUUCAAUUCGAAGCUUCUACUUCAAGUCGACUUAGAAAUUAUGGAGGGAUUCUAAUGAAAAAGUUGUUAAUGACUUGUUCAAUUUGCUCACCUUAAACAGCACUUCAGCUCUAGCCUGUUGUAACAUGUCCUAAAGACAUGGGCUUAAAUAUAUUUGCCAAAGGAAAGGAUAAUUGGGGAGCUCUCAGUUCCUCGGACAUUUAACGAAAAGCUUAAAAAAAUGAUCAAAAAACAAUUAAAAGGUAGAAUUCUCCCUGUUUAUCAUGUACUACUACUCAAAUGUUGCAGAAGUUUGUUUAUGAUUCAUCUACAGUAUUACCUGUAAAGAUCCUAGAACAUUCUAAGAGAGUAUAAUUAUACUGUAAAGGUUUUACUAGGCAGUACAAAUACAGUUUUAAUUGAAAUGACUUACUUCUUGAUCCCAAUUGGUGGAGAGUAUCAUUGCGAUGAGAACCAAAAUUUGUACGAUCAUCGCGCAUAUAAUUCCCAUCCAUAGGCCCUGGAAAACCAAUUAUAUAGUUGUAGUAAGAAAAGCAAGUAAGAAAGCAUAUAUAGAUUUCCGUACUUAACAAGAAAGAGCAGAGUUAUAGCUCACCUUCCCACCGGCAUGGAAGAAAAAAGCAAAGAGAACAGCAGAUGGAAUGCCGACGACAUAAUAGGCACCGAGGUUGAUUACUGAACAUAUCUUCUGCCAACCACAUCCUCUAGCAGCGCCUGUAAGUUUUGACGUUUGAUAUUGAAAUAUAAAUAAAGCAAAUUAUACUUCAUAUUUCAUAAACAACUUUGGUAGAACAAUUAGCCGAACGCAAAUGAUAGGAGAAUGCAGAAUACUAUCGAGAAAACGAGAUCAUGCACCCUUUACAGAAACAAUCAAUACAAACGAAAGUUGUAGAAUUUUUUUUUGGAGAUUUAACAGGUAGUAUUGGGCAUAUACAGACAAGAAAAAAAACUAUGCAGAAGGGUUUUUAUACGAUGAAUGUAUAAAGCAAACUAAAUUGAGAAUUACAAAAUUCUGUAGUCUGAUGUCUUGUAGCAGAGAGCUAAGCUACUAACGUAUAAAGAUUCCAUGAGCGACUCAUGGACGCUAGGUUUCUUUUGGGGCAUAUAAGGGAACAUGACCUGUCUAGCGCACACAUUUUAUGUUGUACUCGGUUAUCUCUAUGAUUCAAACAUAAAAUUUUACUUUGUACUUGGAUAUUCCAAUUUUGUGGAAUAACCCAAACUGAAAAAAUUACCUAAAUUUGUCCCCAAGCCAAUGCCUGAAAGUACCACAGGGAGCAUGUGCGUGUACGUGAACAGUGAAUAAUAACAAAAUGCAGCAUAGAGGAUUUGGACUUAACCAACCUGAAAGAGUGCAUUGAAUCCCAUCCAUAAAAUCAGAAGCAGCAAGAAUCGGCAUCAUAGCUGAUACAUAUUUCACGACUUCUUCUUCAUUGCUAUAUAAGUAGCCCCAAAUAUCGCGCACCAAGAUGGUAGCUAAGGCAACAAUUAGGCCCUCGGUUAUGGCUAUGGCUACCACAACAUAUACCGACAAGCGUGCAGCUUGCGGAUGCCCGGCUCCUAGUUCGUUUGAAACUCUAAUACUGUAAGAGGGGGAAAAAAGAAAAAGAAAAAGAAAAAGAAAAAUAAGAUGAAAGCAAUACUGAUUAACAAUAUUACAUAAAAUGCAAAAAAUAGUUCAACUCCUCUUGCCUUGCAGCAUUGCUGAGACCAGUUGGGAUCGUAUAAACCACCCACAUUGUGUUCAGGCUGGCAAAAUAAGUUACGGUUACUAGACAAUAAAUUAUAGACUGUAAAAUUAAGUAACUUCAAAUUGCAUUGGUCCUUGGACAAAAGAGAAUAAUUUAAUGUUGAGGGAAGUGUUCCUUAGAACAGAAUAAGUAAAUUGCAAGCAAUUAGCAGAACAACAAGGUCAAACCAACCACCAUUUAAGGCAUUAAUAUUUAGAGCUAGAACUUGAAUAAGAUUGAAAGAGUAAACAACUAAAAACUGUGAACUCUGGAAACCAUCAGGGAUGGAGUCUCAAAAGGGAACACUCUUUUAUUGUAAAGGAAAGAUCAGCCAAUGUUUCCAUGAAAGGUCGGAUGAUUCCAUGAAGUAACGCUAGGACACAAUAGUUAGACAAAGCAGAGAAAACUUAUUCAACAGUAAGGAAGACUUUGCAAAGUUGUCGCAAUAAAAGAAUUGAAGGCAGAAAAGAUUUACUGCAAAAGCACAGAGUCGAGAGGUUUACAAAAUAUCUAGAAUUUUCUUCAAUUUCGACAAAAUCAUAGAAAACCAUAUAAUGAUUUGGAUGAUUCACAUAUCUAUUUCUGUCCAGAAGGAACAGAAAAUGACUCAACUACAAAUUUUUCUAUAAUCAUGCUUUCGUAAAUCCAUUUUCAAUCAUAUGCUGAAGUUGUAACCAGUGCUUUCUAGCAGAGAACAGAAAACAUCUUCUCUAUGCUACACUUGUCAAAUAUUUCCUUCUGCACAUUCUGCAGAAAUGAAACUGAGCAACCAUUUCAUGCAGGAACUUGGACCACUUUCAAGGACGUAAAAAGAGAAGGCAUCAACAGCUCUUUUGAGCAAAUGUGACAAUUCAUUCUAAAACUACAACAGAUAAGAAAAGUUUUAAAGUUCAUUUGCUAACCUGAUUGACAAAACUGAAGUCUCUAGUUUUGGAUUGGGAAGAAAACCAGCUAGAAGAACCACCAUUUCAAACGCCCAAUACUCUAAGCUGCAUCAAUUUGUGCUGAUAAACCAUCAUUAGUUAGUGCAUAAUUUGGGACAAAGAAAAUAGAUUUUAGACUAAACAGAAACAUUGAUCAUAGCCAGAUAAAAUCACAUAAUAUAUGAAGUUCUCACAAAAUAAGCAUAAGAAACAGUUACUUCCACAAGAUACUAUUCACAGAAGCCAGUAAGAGAGAGAGAGAGAGAGAGAGAGAGAGAGAGAGAGAGAGAGAGAAUACCAAUACUAUUUCUACAGCAUGAAAUAUCAUGCCACCAUGGAUGAAGGACUUGGCUGUCCUAUUAUGAAAACUAGUUUAUAUGUGAAGUGGAAAAGUAGCCAACCCAACUAGUAUUUAAUUUAUCAAAUUGCUAAGAAAACAUCUGUGAUGAAAGUAGGACAAGGGCCUCAAAAUGUUAAAAAGCAUAUUACCAGGGUACUUCUCUAUAAUAUAUCUAUGAAUUCUCUAAUUAUUUAAUUUAGCAUUCCAUACCAAAAAAAAUGACAAAAACCAUACAAGAUUAAAACAAGUACAUUUAUUUGAAAGGAAAAUUUUCUCCGCUAGGACUACGAAGGAAAAUUACCAAGUCAUAAAAGCGGAGGGAACAGCAAGUCUCAAAAAGUUAAGAACAUCACUUAGUGCCUCUGUUGAAAAUCCAGUCCAAGUCCUCCUGCAAGCUCGAGAGAGCUUGAUGUAUAAUGCUAAUAUAAGCGUGUUGAUCCAGUAGGAUAUAGUUGUCGCCAAUGCUGCACCUUUGGUUCCAAGGCCAGAUUUAUACACCAAAAUCCAGCAUAAUAUAAGAUGAAGUAAUGCAGUUACCCCAGAACUAAUCACCAUCGGAAAGAUUAUAUUUUGGGUUUGUAGAAAUCUAACGUGGCAUUGAAGCAAACCAUAGGCAAAGAGGCCAGGGAUCAGCCAACGAGCGUAUAAACCUGCUUCUUUUGAUAUUUCGGGAUUCUGACCAACGGCAAUGAGAAUUUGGCUUGUGUUGGCCCAAAUAAAAGCUAACGGAACACUUGCAAGGAGAAGAACAAACAUAGCCCUCUGCAUUUGUAUACCGAGGAUAUGGUAUUGUUUUGCCCCAUAGGCCUGCCCGCAAAGCGUGUCGAGUGCAGUUCCCAUACCAAGCUUGUUAUGAAAAAGGAAAGGAGAUCGAUUUAUUAUUGAAGCCUUACCAGUGAAAAUUGUAUAAAGAAGUAGUAAGGACUGAACAUGAGAUGGACUGUGAACAAGAGAGAAAGUAAUAACUGAAUCUUUUGAAAAGAAUACAGGUGGCAUGCAUUUUGUUGAGGCACAUUACCAUAUUUGCUUACAUAUUAUAUCUUCAAUAUUGGAUUAAAGAGAAAACAAAGAGAAAAGGGAAAAAAAAUUGAAAUGGUCGACAUAAUUCGGUUAUCGCAUUGCAAGUCUUCUACUUAAGUCAGCAAGUGUUUGUGUAUUACUUGAAGUAUUAUCGCCAUGAGAUGCUACUCUUCAAAAUCUAGAUCAACAUCUGAGCUUGGCUUAUUCCUGUCUUUUUAUGAUGAGUGACUCAACUAAGUCUAUGAACGUGAAACUCUGUAAAAGUGAUAGGUUAAAAAUACCAUUGUUCCCCUUGGUUAAAUAUUCUAUUGGCUCGAGCGGAAAUUGGCACAUCAGCGACAAUCAUAGCCAAGCGGCUAUUUCCUUCUGCUUGCCAAAAAAAAAGGAAAAAAAAGCUUGGGAGUUGAAACAAGAAAGUGCGUGAAGGUUGGAAAUCAACACUGUAAUUCAACAUUGAUAGGAUGAAACUAGCCAACAGAGCAAGCCUCUUUCCUGGUAAAGAAAAUUAAGGCAAUCCUCAGAUACUUUAUUUUUAUCCUUAUCCACUAUUCUUUUUGUAAGUCAAAGAUCAUUUUUCUCAUUUCUAACAGGUAAAAAUAGAAAAAAAAAAAAACACGUAUGGAGACCCCCCAAUGUUUUUUUCUUUUCGGAUGAGACCCCUCAACUUUCGUUUAUUUUGAGUUAACUAAUUCACAUCAAAUUAAUUUGGGAUUUCAUUAAAUUCAACGAUGAUUUUGUUAAAUUUAAUGGUUUACCCUUUUUUAGCUAAUAUAAAUGUUGCUUCAACAAAGUUUUCGCCCAAAUUAAAAUAACUGAACAUUAAGAGGAUGCCGAUCCAAAAAAAUUUAGUCCUGAGAUCUAUUUCACAAUGGUCUACAAUUGAUGGGGUCUCCUUACAACUUGGCUCUUUUUUGAUGUAGGAAUAAGAUAUUCAAGAAUAAUCUCAUGAACAUUUUCUUGUGUGAUUAUAAUCGAGGAGCUUGAUUUUUGCUCCUUGAAAAGUCUUAUUAUCCCUGAUUUAGUAUGAUAAAUCUAGAAGAUGAUUUAUUUUAUUCCAAUAAAAAGACUUAAAUGUCGAAUAUGAUAUUCAUUCUGGACAUUUGAUCACAUUACUCAUCUACCAAAUAUCACAUGCUUCUCGAAUAAAUAAAAAAAGAUAUCCCGAAUAAGAUGCUCACGCAUCCAAACAAGGCCUAGGUGUUUAUAAAUUUUUAGCUGUUGGAUCUAUUCUUUUGACCUUUGGAUCAGAAGUCAACAAUGGUGGCUUCUUGCAAGGCCUACUAUUGUGCAUGACAUAAGGACCGCUAGGGCUAAUUCAAUGCUCAAAUAGGCUAUAGCACAAACACCUUAGUGUUUCUAAAACCACCCCAGCAAGACACUCUCUCUCUCUCUCUCUCUCUCUCUCUCUCUCUCUCUCUCUCUCUCUCUAUAUAUAUAUAUAUAUAUAUAUAUAUAUAUAUAUAUAUAUAUUAUUACCUUAUAUUUACUAGGAUAUCACAACUCACAAGCAAACUCUUUCUCUCGUAUUAUUCUACUCAAUCAGUGACAUCACUGCAACAUACAUUAUUCGUGACAAGAGAGAAUGGAAUAGGAGAGUUGAUAGGCUGGGCCAGCAUUCACGUGGCAUUUUCACCAACUUUUAAUUAACUCUUAAAUAAAUAAACAAAAGCUUUUCUCAACACGUAUUCACGUACGUAUCCAUGUCUAAAUCUAAUGGCCAUUCUAUAUGGUCGAUAGCUUGGUUGAUUUUUUUUUCUUUUUAUUUUUGUUUUUUUGGUUCUGUGUGGGUUUGGUUAGAGCCACAACAAAAAAAGAAGGGUGNUAGGUAAAUGAUAUCAAAAAAUCGCAAAAAUUAUUUUCUAGAAACUUCAAAUGCUCUAGAUCAAGUCUAACGGAGCCGAUCGUCGAUUCGAAAAUUCCAUCAUCGAAAACGGCUCAGGAGCACGGAGGCCUGAGAGCACAGCAGCCCUGCUCUAUAUAUAUAUAUAUAUAUAUAUAUAUAUAUAUAUAUAUAUAUAUAUAUAUAUAUAUAUUAAGAAGUAGCAACACAUAAUUCACCAACCAACCAAGAAACGAACACAUACAAAUACCCUAUGAGACAAAUCAUCAAACACCUUACAUGCAAUCCACGCUCCCUUUCCUCAUCAACCCAAAACUAAAUCACGUACCAGGACGCUGAAUCCGGUGACGUUGGCGAAGGAGGCGGCGACGGAGGCGCCGGAGAGGGCGAGCUCGCCGAGGUGGCCGACGACCAUGACGGAGAUGACCUGGAGCAGGUACUGAAGGAGGCUCACGGCGAUCAAUGGCGCCGCGAGCCCUAGCUGCCGAGGGACCUCAUCGGCGACGGCGAUGGAGAUCGGAGGGUUAGGGUUUUGCUCGGAGGAGGAGGAGGAGGAGGAGGGGAGAAGAGGGGAAUGGGGAGAUGGGUUCUCCUCUUCUCCUUCUCCCAUUGAAGGGGUUUUAUUAAUUUCUCUCCUUGCUUGCUAUGGAGGGAGACGAGAGUCGAGAAGAGAAAGGAUUCAAAGGAAUGGAGAGCGAUUUAAACGUUAAAAAAAGGUCAACUGUGUAGAGGACGAUUUUACAAUUUAAUACUUUACAAAUUUAUAAUUUCAAACUGAUCCUCUAAAAAUUUAUUUUGACAAAAUUUAAAUGAUGAUGGCUUAUUAUUAAGUUUUUCUCUUGAUCAAAUCCUAACAAUUCAUUUAUAUAAUUCUAACAAUCAAACAAAAAAUUUUAUAAUUCAUAUAUAAUUUUAAUAAUCUUAUAAAAAUCUUCAUAAUCUAUUAAAAAAAUAAUAAUAAACUGUAAAUAAUAAAUGAUUCACUGCUUUCUAAAGGCGGUGUUUUUCGUUUCUAAUUAUGUGAAUCUCUAGACACUGAGUUGGAAAAAAGAGAGUUCACUGGCCAAACAAUAUUUUUGAAAGAGUCAAUUUACAAAUUAGAAAUUUUAUAAGGUUCUUGUUAGAAACAACUACGUAUAAGUUUCGAUUUUAAAUGUUUUGCGUGGACCCGGUUCCUCCGUACACUCGUGGGCCGCCCACCUCAUGUAUAAAUAUCCCUUUGUUCCCCUCCCUCUUUAUCCGCUUCAAUUCUCGGCCACUCCACUCUCUCUCUCUCUUUCUCUCUCUCUCCUCUUCCUCCUCUCUCCACCCAACGAUGCAAACCCCAAUCCAACCCCUCCCACCUCUCCGCACCCACCUCCUAAACCCCCAACCCCACCUCCCCCUCCUUCUCCUCCUCCGCCGCCCCUCCCCGCUCCGGCGUUCGCCGCCGCCGCCGCGCUACUUGAGAGCUCGCUGCUACGGCGUCGGCGGCGGCGGAGGUGGAGUGGAGCCCCAGAAGAGGAAGAAGGCGGGGGCGGUGUCGGCGGUAGCGGCGGCGGCGGCGGCGGCGUACCCCUUUGGCGAGAUCGAGCCGCGGUGGCAGCGGUUCUGGGAGGAGCACCGCACGUUCCGCACCCCUGACGAGGUCGACACCUCCAAGCCAAAGUGCUACAUCCUCGACAUGUUCCCUUACCCCAGGUGAAAACUCCUAACCCUAAUUGGGGGAGAGAAACCCUUUUUGGGUUUCUGGUGGAAAGAUUUGGUCUUGGGAAUUUACGAACUUAUUAAAGAAGUGGUGCUAAAUUGGGAUUUAAUUUGUUGUCUGAGAAAUGAGGGGAAGCCAUUUGUUUUCUUGCAGAAAGGUUUGGUCUUGGAGGGGAGGUGAGUACCCAUUAGUUAGUCUUGUGGGAAUAUAAGAAUGUGGUGUAAUGAGGAAAGAGCUGGGUUACUUAGAUAGAAUUUCUUAAGUGGACUUAAUUUGCUAUUAUAGGUGAGCGUCUUGAUAAUAAUGAUGGUUGUUUAUUUAUUUAUUCUUUUCCCGAUGUUGGAUGGGUUUUAAUUUCCUAUGGUCUAUAUCUCUUUGUUGUUUUUUUUUUUUUUUUUUUUUUUUUUUUUUUUNCAUUUCUUGAUUUACUCUUCCCUAGACUCUUCAUUAUUACGUAUGAUAGAAAUUGGGGAACAUUAAUUCGGAGAUUUGGAUUUUUUCGUAAUGAAUAAGGAGACAUUUUUAUGUAGGUAUGUAUCAAAAGGAUGCUACCUAUCGUUGGUGUGAUGUAGGAAAAGAAUUGAUUUGUCCUUCUUGAUUGGCAACUCGCAGCUGAAGCUAUUGAGUUGAUGAGAGUAUACCCUGUCUUAAUGCAUGAAAGACGAUUCACUUACAAAUUAGGUUUUAUAGUGCUUAUUGUCUUAUUGGAAGAUUGAUCAUGUUUGUUUGAUCAAUCUUCCUGUUUCCACUCUUCUUAUUGGAAGAUUUGUCCUUCUUGAUUGGCAACUCGCAGCUGAAGCUAUUGAGUUGAUGAGAGUAUACCCUGUCUUAAUGCAUGAAAGAUGAUUCACUUACAAAUUAGGUUUUAUAGUGCUUAUUGUCUUAUUGGAAGAUUGAUCAUGUUUGUUUGAUCAAUCUUCCUGUUUCCACUCUUCUUAUUGGAAGAUUUGUCCUUCUUGAUUGGCAACUCGCAGCUGAAGCUAUUGAGUUGAUGAGAGUAUACCCUGUCUUAAUGCAUGAAAGAUGAUUCACUUACAAAUUAGGUUUUAUAGUGCUUAUUGUCUUAUUGGAAGAUUGAUCAUGUUUGUUUGAUCAAUCUUCCUGUUUCCACUCUUCUUAUUGGAAGAUUUGUCCUUCUUGAUUGGCAACUCGCAGCUGAAGCUAUUGAGUUGAUGAGAGUAUACCCUGUCUUAAUGCAUGAAAGAUGAUUCACUUACAAAUUAGGUUUUAUAGUGCUUAUUGUCUUAUUGGAAGAUUGAUCAUGUUUGUUUGAUCAAUCUUCCUGUUUCCACUCUUCUUAUUGCAAAGUUGAACUUAAGAUUACAUGAACAAUUUCAAAUGCACAAUGUUGUGGACUUUGAGUGGCCUUAUAUUCAAUUCUGAUCUUUAUUUGACUAGGAUGAUCUCACAUAACUUUCACAAUUUGUUUCUGAAUUCACUUAGUCUUUUUGCUUAAAAUAAAAUGAGGCCAUGAACAAUUACUUUGCAGCGGAGCUGGACUACAUGUUGGUCAUCCCCUUGGAUACACGGCAACUGACAUUCUCUCAAGAUAUAAACGCAUGAAAGGUUUCAAUGUUCUGCACCCAAUGGGAUGGGAUGCAUUUGGUCUUCCAGCUGAGCAAUAUGCUAUCGAGGUUGAAUUGAAACUUUUUGUGGCAAAUGCACUGGUGUAUGCCUUUUUUGUUUUUGGGUGAAUAACCCACCUCAUGCACAGACAGGAACCCAUCCAAAGAUCACAACAAAGCGAAACAUUGAACGAUUCCGGUCACAGGUAAUUUUGAUGUGACUUGUCUUUGUUGACAUUUUUAAUUUUCUGUUUGAAAAUUGAAGAUGUUUAAUUUCAAUAUGUUAUAUCAAGUUUGUCAUGUCAGGAUCAUUUAGACUAAGAGAGACAAUUAUAUGUGGUUAAUGCAUGUUUGUGCUAGUACGGCAGUUGUUGAACUUUCUGGCUUAUUUUUCAAUUGUUAGCCAAACAAGCCAUUACUCUAUGAUUUACUUGGAUGUUUAUAUCUUUUUUUGCAGCUAAAAUCUUUAGGAUUUUCUUAUGACUGGGAUCGUGAAAUAUCCACCACUGAACCAGAUUACUAUAAAUGGACCCAAUGGAUUUUUCUUCAGCUUCUGAAGACAGGACUGGCAUACCAGGUCCUGAAAACUGAACUAUUAUUUACUCGUUGGACUGCCCUGUUUGCUGUACUUAUUAUGUUUUGAUAGUGUUGUAGUUGUGGUUUAUGAUGGUUUAUGCUAGCAUUACUUUUGAUAUAUUUACAACAGGCUGAGGUACCUGUUAACUGGUGCCCUGCUCUUGGCACUGUUUUGGCGAACGAAGAAGUCAUCAAUGGUGUCAGUGAACGAGGCGGUUUUCCUGUUAUAAGAAAGGUAUUCAUGGAAUUUUUUAGAUCGUCUUAUUGUUUCAUUUUUUUUUCAUUAUUUCCCAUUUACCCUUUUUUGAUUAGUCACAUGUUUGUUUUCAAUUACUUAGAAGGCACACUUAGGGUCUUUUUUAUUUUUUCGGCUAGAUCUUCUGCACGAGUGCUGUUUGAAGGGAUGUGCUUGAAGAAGCACUAGUAGCUUUUUCACCAAAAUCUUCUUUAUAGCUUCUCAUGACAGAGGAAGCAGAAGUUUUAUAUUGGAGUUUUUGCUUUUGAGGCAAAAAAAAAUCAUUUUAGCUUUUGCCUCAGCAAUAGCUGGAAACUAUGGGCGUGUUUGGUUCAAAAUAGGAAUUGUAAUCGGAAUGGGAAUCGAAAUGGACUGGAAUCGAACAUGGAAUGGUAAAAUCCUCCAAUAUGUUUGGUUUAGAAUAACAAUUGGAAUCAGCAUAAGUUGAUUCCUAUUUUCACCGUUUGGUUGAGAUGGAAAAAAUUUUGUUUAUCAAAAAAAUAAUUAAAAAAAUAUAUAAAAUAUGAAAAUAUAAAAUUAAAUUUAAAAUUGAGUUUGCAGCUCAAAACAUAGAAAUAAAUUUAUAAUUUAAAUUCAAACUAAGACUGAAAUAUUAAAUAUUUACAGCAAAAAUUUAAAAUGACAAGCCAAAAUUUUAAAUGUAAAUUUUUUUUAAAAAAUAUAAUUUAAAAUUGAGUUGACAAUUCAAAAUAUAAAUUUGAAUUCCAAUUUGAAUCCAUAAAUUUAAUUUAAAAUUCAAAUAAAAUUUUAAAUUUAAAAUUUGAAUGUGAAAUUUGAAUUUGAAUUUGAAUUUGAAUUUAAAUUCAUAUAUUAAAUUCAAAAUGCUUUAUGAAUUUAAAUUUUAAUUUAAGUUCAAAUCAAAAUAUAAAAUGUAAAAUUUAAUUUCUAAAUUUAAACUUGUAGUUUUAAUUAAAAAUUGAAUUUAAAAAGUUUCAUUUAAUUUUAAAUCAAAAUAUAAAAUAUAAUCAGGAUAUUUUCGUAGAAAGUAUUCAUCCCGCCUAUAUUCAAUUUCCAAUCAGGCCUUCUAGAUUGGAUUGGAAAAUUGGGUGACCGGGGGAUUCUUGUUCCAUUCGGGAAUUGGAAUCGGAAUGGGACUCCGCAUACCAAACACCCACAAACAGAAUUGUCCAAUUCCAAUUCUGAUUCCUUGGUUCAAAUAGGGUGAACCAAACACGCCCUGUAUGUUAGCCAAAUACUUGGUUUUGAAAACCUUCUACAUUCUGGAGUAGAUAUUCUAUUCCAAAAGCCAGGACAAUUAAGCACUUAGCGCAUUGAUUGGAAUUACCUUGUUACCCUUUUUUUGUUGCCCAAGUAGCCUAUGCGGCAAUGGAUGCUCAAGAUUACAGCUUACGCUGAUCGCCUUCUUGAAGAUUUGGACGAUCUUGAUUGGCCAGAAAGCAUCAAAGAAAUGCAGAGAAAUUGGAUAGGGCGCUCUGAAGGUGCUGAAAUCGAAUUUCAUAUUGUUGAUUUUCAAGGACAGGAACGAGGAUUACAUCUAUCUGUCUUCACAACCAGACCAGACACCAUCUUUGGCGCAACGUAAAUAUCAUUAGUUUUAUAUAUGCAUAUAUUAUGUGAAAAAUAUAAUUUGAAUUUAGAUGUAUUUACAUUAACACCCCUGCCACGCUAUUUAUUUGUUUAUAUCCUGGCAAAAUCUCAAUUAUCAUAUAAGCACUUCGAAAAUCUUUUCUAUACAAAGCCAGCUUCCCUCCUGGAAUUUGGAUGGCACUCUAAGUUAUUACAGCAUUUUAGUAGGAAUUUGCAACUGUGAGGGGUAUAUACGAAAUUAAGAUUUCCCAGGGUUAUAUAUGAUUUUGCAGGGAUAUUUACGGGAAUGCCCCUUUUAUGUACUGUUUGAAUGAUAGUACAAUCUUGAACUCUCUCUUAUGUUGCAGAUAUCUUGUUGUGGCGCCGGAGCAUUUCCUAUUAUCGUCAUUAAUAACCGAGGAUCACCGUGAAAUUGUAUGUUUUCGUCUUUUAAAGUUUAGAUUCAUGAACACUCGAAAGAAAAUAAAAAAGAAAAUUUUGCAUUCAGGUUGAGGAAUAUGUAGAGCUGGCUGCAAGAAAGAGUGAGCUUGAAAGAACAGAUCUUCAGAAGGAGAAAACUGGAGUUUUUAGUGGUUCGUAUGCUAAGAAUCCAGCUACCGGAGAAAAAAUUCCAAUAUGGAUAGCAGAUUAUGUUUUAGGAAGGUUUAUCUAUUUUCAUUUCUUUACAUUUAUUUUGCAUUUGUUAGUUAUUAUACUUUGUGAUGGCUGCACAAGUUUUUCUAAGAUUGUAAUGGUUGGUAACAGACUGCUUAAAUAUUGUGUAGGAGUUAUUAUUUGCGUUUUUUUGGCUGGUCCUUGCUGUCUUUUUCUUUUAAAGUUAACUAGUCUUCUAAGAGUACUUGACUUUUUCAUUGUUUUUAGUUUCUCCAAUGUGAAGUAUCUUUAAUGCCAUGUCUUGCAUUUUCAUAUUUAUUUUUUUUUGAUAUUUUAUAUUUACAAGUUAGUGUGCUCCUAUAUUAUUGAUAUAUUGGUGUACAGAAAUUAUGUUGCUUAGCUGUUGCAAAGCUCAUUUCAACAAAUUAAGAAUUAUAAUCCUUCAUUAAGAUAUCUUAAAAUCUAGCUUUUAUUUUUGGUUAUUUUCUUUGUUCAUCAUUUAAGGAGUUGUUUUAGUGUAAUCACUCAAAGUGUUCUUGGAGACAGAAUUUUUUCCUAAUAUGGCAAACCUCACAUAACAUUUCAUUUUUUUGUAAAGAACAGUGUCAAAUUUGUUAUACAGAAAACUGUAGACAAAAAUCUGACUUUCAGAAUUUUGAUAUGCAAGUUGACAUGUUCUCCUACCUGUACAUGUAGUUUCUGUUUGGUGACUAGGACAUAGGGUUUGGAGAUUACAGAGAUUUCACAUAUACACCCUUGCAAAAUUAUCUAUGUAUAUUUUUUGUUUCCCUGUAAUGUGUAUGCCCUUCAAGAACUUAAAUUUGCUUCAUAUAUACCCUUGAACAUGCUAAGGUGUCCCUCUUUAAGAAACAUUUUCUGAACAAAACCAACCUCCCUCCAUGGAUUAUAUGAUUUUCAAACUUAGGGGUAUCUUUGUAAGAAACUGCAGUUUGAGGGGGUAUGCAUGAAGUUUCAGAUUUUACAGGUUUAUAAGUGCAAGUAGAUGAUUUUGUUUUGAUAUGUGUGUAUAGACCUCUCAUCAUUAUUUCUGUUAUUGGCAAUCAAUUAUAAGCUUCACUCCUCUGCUGCAACAUCAUAAUCUAUGAUUUGUAUUCAUCAUGCAGUUAUGGCACUGGAGCAAUCAUGGCCGUACCUGCACAUGACUCUCGUGACUAUGAGUUUGCCUUAAAAUAUAACAUACCAAUAGUUUGGGUCGUAAAACCAUCUGAUGAAAUUUGCGAUCUAAAUGAGCCAUAUGUUGAUGAUGGUAUCAUAGUAAACUCAUCCAGUUCGGUAUCUGGGUUGAAUAUUACUGGUCUAUCUUGCAAGGAUGGUGCUUCAAAAGUCAUUCAAUGGCUUGAGAGUACUAACAAUGGAAAGAAAAAGGUGCUUUCAUUUGCCCAAAUUUGAAUCUAGCCCCUAAAGUUUGACUCCGAUCUUAAGUCUUGUCCUCACUCUAAUUUUAACAAUUUAAACCCUGAAACUUGACUGUUAUUUUGAUUUUGUGCGCAGAAUUCAAGUUAAGCAAUUCAGUCCUGAAGUUUAACCCCGAUUUCAAUUUUGAAAAAAAGAAAAGUCUAAGAAUAGUGCUGACAUGGCAUCUAUUUCAGAUAGUAUACUAACUGAUGGAAUUAAAUUGUCGCAUGCAACAAGCUUCAGGGACAACAUUGAUAAAAUGGAAACUAAAAGGAUGAAGUUAAAAUUGGAGUCAAACUUUAAGUACUUUAAUGUUAAGUAACCAAUUCUUUUUUAUACUUAUUGUGUUGUACGGCAAUUUAAAUUUGAAUAAAAUCCAUGCUCAGGUAAAUUACAAGCUAAGAGAUUGGCUUUUUGCUCGACAACGCUAUUGGGGUGAACCUUUCCCUGUAAUUUACCUUGAUGACACUGAUGAAAUAGUGCCUCUUUUGGAAAGUGAGCUGCCACUAACUCUUCCUGAAUUGGAUGACUUCACUCCAACUGGAACAGGAGAACCUCCUUUGGCGAAAGCCAUAUCUUGGGUAUGUUUUUCUUUUACUAAUUUUGAUGCAGGUGUAUUUGAUAGCGUGCUUCAGAAACUUUUUCAUGUAGUUGUAGUUAUAGGCUGGUUAGUUUCAUUCACUAUGAUGAUUUGUACUUACAUAAAAUGAAGAAGUGAAAAGAUAACAGCAAAAUUGGUUAGAGGAAAUAUAAGGUGGUGAAAACCCAGGAUAACAUUGACAAUUAGCAAAAUUUUCUUCUAUUGUCAUUCGAAGGUGAAAAAUAAAAGCUGUUAUCUUGUAUCCCAUAGGUUGUUUUAUACGUAGGGGUGUAAAUGAGCCGAAUACGAGCGAGCUGGGGUUGGCUCGUGUUCGCGAGCUGGCUUGUUAAAGUAUGGAGCUAAAAAAUUUAGCUCGUGUUCGGCUCGUUAAUAAACAAGCCGAAUACGAGCUAGUUCACGAGUUGGCCAACGAACAAUAAAUUAAAAUGAUUAGAUUGAAUAUAUAUAAAAAAUAAAUUUAUAAAAUCUUAUCCAUUAGACUUUGAUCUAAUGGUUGAAACUUUACAUAUAAAUGAGUCUUUUUAUAAUUGAGCUUGUCUUUAUAUUUUUAUUUUUCUAAAAAUUAAAUAAUAAAAAUAUAUAUUAUAUAUAUAAUUAUUUAUUUAUAUAUAUAAAUAUAAAUUAAAUAAAUUAUAUAAAUAUAAAAUAUAUGUAUUCGAGCUGUUAUUGAGCCGAACACGAGCGAGCUGACCCCAGCUCGUGUUCGGCUCGUUUAUUAAACGAGCUGAAAAAUUCAGCUCGUGUUCGGCUNCUCGUUUACUAAACGAGCGAUUUGAUCUCGAGCUCAUUUCGAGUCGAACACGAGUUGACUCACGAACAGUGAGCUGGAUUGCCACCCCUAUUUACACGUAUAACCUUCUUCGGAAGUUUUUUUUUUUUUGGUUUUUUCCUUAUUUUUCCUUUCAAAUAACUAUUCGGAUGGAGUAGAAAGAAGGCAUAGUUUCUCUAUGCAGUUCUUGCUGUUUUGAAACUCAUUUCUCGUCUGCCUUAUGUAAUAUGUCUAAAAUGAAUUCCAUCUUCUUAUUUAGGUUAAAACUGUUGAUCGUUUAUCGGGGAAACCUGCAAGAAGGGAAACUAGUACAAUGCCACAAUGGGCUGGAUCCUGCUGGUAACUUCGUCACCUUUUUGUUAAUGGAUGGAAUUCGAAAAACCAUAUAAAAAUUAAAUAGUGUAAUGAGUUUUAAUUUGUCGUUUCCUCUUACUAUUAUAGAAGUUAAAUAGUGUAACUAUUUUCAAAUUAUGUAUCCAUUAAAUAUAAAACUUCUUAUUUUUAAAUAACUUGUUAGGUACUAUUUGAGAUUCAUGGAUCCCCAAAAUCCCACUACUCUGGUUGACAAGGCGAAAGAAAGGUAGGGAAGAUUUUUAUUUCAUUUAUUCUUUACAGCCACAAGGAAGGUUUUAUUGGAGCAGCUAAUAUGUUUAAUUUAUCACCAGAUAUUGGGGCCCUGUUGACAUUUAUGUUGGCGGUGCUGAGCAUUCUGUCCUACAUUUGCUUUAUGCGAGAUUCUGGCACAAGGUUUUUUCAAACUGUAAUUAAUUGAUACUUAAAUUUCAUUGAAGGUUAUUACAAUUUAUUUAUUAUUUAUUUGAUUUACGUAUUUAUUUUUUGUUGAAGGUUAUAACAAUAUCUGUGAAAUUCUAUUUGCCCUUGUAUAUGCAGUCUCUACACAUUCUUUGAUUGCCUUUAAGUUUUGCGCAAAAUGGCUUAAUGUUGAUUAGGUUGUAUGCUGUCUGAGUUAAUCUGAAGAAGUCUGCCAAAUACAAGUUAGUUGGCAAUGUGUGGCUUGUAAUCUAGUAGAACCCAUCCACUUAGUUGCUUUUUAGAACACAGUAUUUUCAGAGAUUACUUGAGCUUAGGGAGUAAAUAAAUGGUAGAAUUUUCAAAACUUAAUUAUCAUUUUACUUCUGCUAUGUGGUUGUAAUUUUUUUGCUUCUACUCACCUCUUUCUUUGUUAAAUAUGCCUUUUAGGUUCUAUAUGAUAUUGGCAUCGUUUCCACCAAAGAGCCAUUCAAGUGCUUGAUAAAUCAAGGGUUAAUACUAGGAGAAGUAAGUAACUUAACUUUCCGAAGCUAUCUGUAUAAUAUUAUCCUUAUUACUUUCUAACUACUGUAGUAAUAGGUUGAAUAUACCGCGUUUAAAGAUCAAGAAGGUAGAUGGAUCUCUGCAGAUUCUGCCAGUUCAAGUGAGUAUUACCAAGAAAAAGUGCCUGCAGAGAAGGUGCGGUUCAAAAUAGACAAGUGUUAUUAUACUAUUAUUGAAGUCGGAAAUCGUUUUUAUUUCAAUUCACAUUUCAAUUUUUCUUGUAGGUCACGAAGGAUGGCGACUAUUUUGUGCUAAAAGACAACCCAAACAUUCGUUUAAAUGCUCGCGCCUACAAAAUGAGUAAAAGUCGCGGCAAUGUCAUUAAUCCAGAUGAUGUCGUUUCUGAAUAUGGUGCUGAUUCCCUACGCUUGUAUGAAAUGUUCAUGGGACCAUUGAGGUAUCUUUUUCCUCUAGGGACUAUACUCUUAUGAGUACAGAGGCCUUUGUUUUCAUUAUUCGUUUUCGAUGAUAGCGCUUCCAAAUCGAGUAUCGAUACCGUUAAACAUGAUUUAGAGCAUUUGAAAUGAAUUUCGUAAUUUUUUGUAAUUAUAAUAAAGUCCAAGCGGGCAUAAAAUGAACGGUCAAAAUCGAUCAGCCUCCUAAAAAUAAAGAACCAGAUUCUUCAAUUAAGAUCGGAGUUAUUGAUUUUUAUGUAGAUAGUGAAUGAAAUUUUCUAUCAAAAAUUUAACCGGUUUUAAUUCUUUUAGCCACCGUUUGGUUGGGGGUUAAGGGGUGGAAUAACCCCUUAACCCCCAAUUUAUACCCAAACACCACUCUUAGCCACCGUUUGGUUGGGGGUUAAGGGGUGGAAUAACCCCUUAACCCCCAAUUUAUACCCAAACACCACUCUUUUGGGGUGGGGUUAGUAAACCCCACCCCAAACCGGGUUAGUGGGGUUUACUAACCCCACUCCCCCUCCCAACUUUAACCCCGCACGCAUCCCGAGCUCUCACCUUUUUCUUCUUUAUCAAUCAUUAUCUUUUUAUCCCACCUACUCCAACCAAACACUUUUUUUCACUAUCCUAGACUAACUCCAACCUCCAACCAAACACAAAAAAAUUUUAACACCAUUUUAACCCUGAACUUAACCCUAUCCCUGGAAUAGCUACUUUUUCUUAACCCCGAACCAAACGGGGGCUUACACCAUUGAACUAGCAAGCAUCCCAUACUAGCUGUUUAAAAUGUUUAUUUUGAAAUCUUUUGAUCAUAAGUUAAAUAAUGUCAAAAAAUUAUGAAAUUUGGUUUCUAGAAGUAUUAAAUGCUCUAAAUCAUGUUUAACGAUAUGUAUUGUAGAUUCAAAAGUUUUAUCAUUGAAAACGAUUUAUGAGUAUGAAGGCGACCCGAAAGAGCAUAGUAGCUGGACUAUGUAUAUAUAGAGAACUAUGGUUACUAUGUUUUCAAAAGUAUAGAGGUCUUCAUGCUCUCAAGUUGUUUUUGAUGAUGGGACAUUCGAUUCCGCAAUUGGCGCCGUUAGACAUGAUCUACAGUGUUGGAGUUAUCUAGAAACCAAAUUUUAUAAUUUUUAGAUUUUGUUUGCCUAGUGAAUGAGUAGACUUAAAAUGAACGAAUGAAAAAAAAAAAUCAUAAAAAUAGUGAUAAAAGACUUAAAUUUCACCUAAUUAGGUAAGUAGAAUAUUCUAUUAAAAUUUCACCUAAUUUUGAUUGUUUACACUGUUGAACUUACAAAUGUACCAGUGUACCACAUCGGCCAUUAAAAUAGUCAUUUUUAAGAUACUUCUAUCACUUGACAAAUGAUGUUGAGAAAUUAUAAAAUUUGGUUUCUAGAUAGUUCUAGUAGCAUAAAUCAUGUCUAAUGAACCCAAUCGCCGACUCGGAUAUCCUAUCAUCAAAAACAACUUGAAAGUAUAGAAACCUCCGUGCUUUUGGAAGCACAGAAGACGUACCCGAUAGAUAUUUAUAUAUCGGUGCCAAAAAAAUAAAUAUUUCAUGCCAUAUUGUGUUGGUAUACAUGUAUUUUUAUCACUGGCACACACUGGCACGGUAUGACAUGCAUUAUAUCAUAUCGUGUUAGCAAGUUUUUGACACAACCCCAUAUCACGACACUUAAAUCCUUGUAUAAACCCCUCAAAAGUUCAAUUCUUACUCAAGUACCCUUAAGUUGGGUGGUCAUGCCACUCACACUAGAAUUUGCUUUUGCUAAAAAUUAUUGUGAAGGGUCAUUCUUUUUCUUUUGUAAAUUCAUGGAUAUAUAUAUAUGUAAGAAAUCAAAAUUUUCAUGGGCAUAUCUCCAGGUUGCAAAUAUUUCAGGGAUAUAUACUUACAAUAAAUUUUCAAGGAUAUAUAUGUAAAUGGUACUUGUUCUUUCUAUAUUAAAUUCUUGAUGCAUGAGUCAAGCGCUUGCAAACUAGGUGCAAACCCUGAACAUUUUUGCUCUUUUUUUCAGAGAUUCAAAAACAUGGAGUACUGGUGGGAUUGAAGGAGUACAUCGGUUUCUAGCAAGGACAUGGAGGCUGAUUGUGGGCCCUCCUUUACCUGAUGGAUCGUAUAGAGAUGGAACAAUUGCAUCCAAUGAUGAGCCAACCAUGGAACAGCUUCGCACUCUUCACAAAUGUAUUGCAAAGGUCAGAUUCCUUUCCUCUUGAACUUAAUGAUAUGAUUCGUUUCGUCAGGUCACUUGGAUGAACUUAAAUCAUCCUUUUCUUCGUUUAAUAUUGAAAAAGAAAGUGAUGCUUUUCUCACGUAGCUGUAAAAUGCAUUUGUAUAAAAAGUCAGAAGUUAAUUUUUAGUUCUAAAACUAUUCAUACUUCCAAAAUUUUAGUGCAAACCUCAAGUCUAACAUUGGCCAAGAAAGCAGAUUCUGAUUUUGGCUAAAACGUACUAUGCUGUAAGUAUCAUGAUUUUCACAUUGCUGUGCUGAUAGUUUACGCAUUUACCUGUGAACAAACUGAUGAAUAUCACCUAAUGGAACAUUGACUAUGGAGGCUAAGUUACAAAAUCUUGUAGUAGCAGUUUCUGGCAAUUUAGCAACAGGUGUGGUUCUUUAACCUCCAAUUUAUUGAGAAGAAGCUUGCAGGAGUCCACGUUGAGACAAGUUCCUCUAUAAGAAGGCACGCUCUGCGAUUAGCCUUUUUGCUGCAGAUAGUCCCAAAGGACCAAAAAUUACAAACUACAUUUAUUAUUGGAAAGUACACUCUGUUUAUCCCUAGUUAUCACUUUCUCUGUAUGCAUAUGUAUGAGCAUGUGCGUGUGCAUGUGUCUGCACCUGCGUGCAUGCGUAUGUGCAUGCAUGUGGGUGCAUGUGUGUGGAUGCAGUAUGCAUGCAUGUAUGCCAAAAUUUGUUCUAGAUGUACAGCACCAUAAUUUUUAUCCAUGGGAAAUAAUUUACUGUCUACAUUUAAAGUUGUGAGAUGAAGAUGUACCAAACUUCUUUGGUUAAUUGUUGUGUUUAUUGAUUUUCCAGGUGGCAGAAGAAAUUCAAGAAACAAGAUUCAAUACUGGAAUUUCUGCGAUGAUGGAGUUCAUAAAUGCUGCAUACAAGGUCUCUUCUAUCAUUUGAGGCAUUAGCUUAUUAGCUUAGUAUGGGAUAAAGUGUUUUUAUAUCACUAUUGUACUUUCUUACUAAUGGAAUGCUAAUUCUUACAGAUAAUUGUUUUUUUUGUCACUUUCUAAACUUAGAUGUAAUUUGAAGUAGUAUGUCCCUUUGGAGAUACUGUUUGCAUUGUUCUUUUUUUUUGUACACUAGGUUCAUAUACUUAGGUUCAUAUAUUGUGAAAACCUUGUUGAAUACUAUUAUUCGAAAUGUCCAGUCCACUAUUUUGUCCAAAGUGAUAGAUCGAUCAGGAUUACAUCUAAUUUAUUACUUGUAAGAAGUGAUCUGUUGAUAAAACCAAUUAAAUAAGCAUAAGUCUCAUUUAAAAGGGAUCAGUAUUUUAAUAGUAGAAUUGUUUCCUUAGCUCUAUUGAUCCUUGUGUUCAAAUGCUAACCAAAAUUUACUUCUCAUCUUUUUGAUGAAAUGCUGGGAACUUGUAGUUGCAUCAUAAUGAUUGAUAGAUGACCUAAAGAUCAUAUUACCCUUUUAAUCAAGCCAACAGAUUCAAUGUAUUUCUGUCUAAUAUUUUCCAGGUUAUUCAUGCCAAAUGACAAAUGGAAUUACCCAACUGUUAUUAACUUAUUGUAGUUGAUGGUUAGAUAAUUUGUUUGCUGGUUACUUCAUGAAAAUAUUGUUGAUUUGUUUUGAAGAAUUAUUGAUCGUUUCUACUGCAUAUAUUUUAAUAAAAUUUUGAUAGUGAUUAUGUUCACUUGCUUUGUCGGUUGACUGAAUUACUCAACUAUUGUUAGCAUUUGCAAAAUCACAAUGAUAUAUUGUUUUGAUAAACUGAUUGCUUUUUUUUUUUUUUUUUUUUUUUUUUUUUUUUUUUUUUUUUUUCUGUUUAACAACUUAGUGGGAGAAUCAUCCAAAGUCAGUUAUUGAGGCCUUUGUUUUGUUGCUUUCACCUUAUGCCCCACACAUGGCAGAGGAGCUUUGGUUUCGGCUUGGGCAUUCAAGUUCUUUGGCAUAUGAAUCUUUUCCAGAGGUACAACUUUACCAAAGACCCAAAUAUGGAAAGCAUAAUAUGGAAAGCAUAAUUUUUACUUGUUGCCUUUUAACUUGUAUCCUUUGCCUUUAAAUUAUGGAAAUUUCCACAUAAUGCGACAUAAUGAGAAAUUUUGCAAGAUAUUGAUCUAUUGAAGCAAUUAUAGUAUAGAUGAAGUUAGUAAAAGUUGCAAGAGAAUUUGAGCUAGAAAUCAAUAUCGAGUCUUGCUACUUUUCUACUUGGCUUACAAACUUCAGAUAAAUAGAUGAUUUCGCAGGGAUCCAAAUGCAAAAGCCUCUUUAUUUAAUUUUGUGAGCCAUACUUUUUGAAACAAAAAUUUAGUGGCUAUACCUGCACCAAUGUACUUCAAGUGACGGAUCAUUAUGCCAAGUCUUUUAAUUUUAUUUUUCAGGCCAAUAGAGAGUAUUUGAAAGAUACAACAAUCGUGCUCCCCGUUCAGAUAAAUGGAAAGACCAGAGGAACUAUUACCGUCGACAAAGCCUGCUCUGAGGAUGAUGCAUUUAGAUUAGCCUCCAGGGAUGAUAAGCUCUCCAAGUAUUUGGAAGGGAAGACUAUAAGGAAAAAAAUUUAUGUUCCCGGGAGGAUCUUGAAUGUCAUAUUGGACAAGGAGAAGGUAAGGUCAUGAUCGUUGCUUCUGAUACUGUAACCAUUUGAUUUUCGCUUCAUGGCUCUAUUUUGUACUGAGCUAUGCUAUAUCUUCUUUUCUUGUCAUGAUUUUGUAUAUUACAGGUUCAUUCUUUCAAUAAAGUUUAACAAUGAUUCAUCAUGUCUCUCUUUUGCUGAAUUUAGCUUGCGACUAACAAUCUUGUUAUGAACUGAAGAGAAUACAGGCAAAUUUGCAACCCCUCUGUUUUGCUGUGUGAAAUAUUGAACGGUAAAACUUGCAGCCUGUCUUAUUAUCUGUUCGUUCUGAAGACGGCACAAACACCAUUCAAUUCCAUGCUUGUGAAUCCGUAGGAAGUUUUUGAUAUUCUGUAUUCGGAUACUUUUGUGUUAGAGUGUUCUUCUCUUUGAUUUCGUAUCCUAUAAAUUGUGGCACCCUAAUAGUCCCGUAUCUGAUGGAAACGGAAUUGUGAUUGGGAAUAAAGUGCCAUGGACCCAAAUAAUAAUAACUGGGUUUAAUUAUUUUGGAACGAUGGUUUGGGCUCAUUUAGUUAUUAUUUCUAGUGCCGGAUUGUUACAUUUGGUAUCAGAGCCGGUUUACCGGCCGGAAUUGUGAGGUGAACCUCACAUCACUUAGUGAUUU